RNAcentral lists this long non-coding RNA (58889 nucleotides) under Capsicum annuum. RNAcentral describes it as "long non-coding RNA (CANN_LNC021999)". Lineage: Eukaryota; Viridiplantae; Streptophyta; Magnoliopsida; Solanales; Solanaceae. The record is from RNAcentral.
AUAUGAUUCAUGUCUUUGAAAAGUGAAACUCAGAACUACAUCAUCAUUGAGAUAUAACAAACAUUUAUUCUAUUGUCAACUCACUCACAACAACUUUACAAGGCCAUCAAGCAAUCAAAUUUUAAGAAUUAUAUUAUGAUAUUCAUUUUCCGGGAACGAAGUUUGUGGCAUAGGCCCAGGCGUUGUUGUUAACUGGAUCUGCUAGGUGGUCAGCAAGGUUCUCCAAUGGACCCUUUCCUGUAACAAUGGCCUGAACAAAGAAUCCAAACAUAGAGAACAUAGCAAGUCUACCGUUCUUAAUCUCCUUUACCUUGAGCUCAGCAAAUGCCUCUGGAUCAUCAGCAAGACCUAAUGGGUCAAAGCUGCCACCAGGGUACAGUGGGUCGACAACCUCACCUAGAGGCCCACCAGCAAUACGGUAUCCCUCAACAGCUCCCAUCAAGACAACUUGACAAGCCCAGAUAGCCAAAAUGCUUUGUGCAUGGACCAAGCUUGGGUUGCCCAAGUAAUCAAGUCCACCCUCGCUGAAUAUCUGGGAUCCAGCCUUGAACUACACAGCCUCACCAAACUUGACACCAUUACGGGCCAAGAGCUAGGGGAAGACACAUCCAAGAGCACCAAGCAUAGCCCAUCUGCAGUGGAUCACCUCAAGUUCACGGUUCUUGGCAAAGGUUUCUGGGUCUGCUGAAAGUCCAGCAGUGUCCCACCCGUAGUCACCGGGAAAUUCACCGGUCAAGUAGCUUGGAGACUCACCUGAGAAUGGGCCCAAGUACUUGACACAGUCUGGCCCAUACCAUGGGCUGCCAGAUGAGGCAGGCUUGGAAACAGCCUUUCUCAUAGAGAUCCUUCCAUUUCCAGUGAUUUCUGAGGCAGAGGGUGAGAGUUUCACUGCCUGUCCAGCAAAAGAAGGGGAAGAAAGUGCCAUUGUAGAACUUGCCAUGGCUUAUCAAGAGAAAAGUAAGUGUUUGAUGGUAUGAAUAUUGUUGAAGUUGGUUGUGAUGAAGCUGAAGUCAGUUGGGUUUCAGAAUAUAUAGCAAGUAAGAGGGAAAGAAUACUUAUCUAGUGAUAUCUAUAUCUAUGAUCUCAUUGGGUAUCAAGAUCCCAUGUACAACAAUUAAUGCACUCUUGGGAAUCUCCAAUCCUUCAAUUUUCCAGGAUGUUCACUAAGGGGACCCAACCAAUUUUGUCCUCCUAUAUGUGGCUGCAAGGCUUGAAAUCUAUUCUAUGAUUUCUUGAGCUUCAAUAUGAUAUCUCUUAUCCAUUGGGAAUUUCUCAAGAUUUUAUCCACCAGGACUAUAGUUCAUUCAGAGUAGAACUAUGGCGUAGCAUUUCACUAAAUAAAUUGAGGAAAAGCUGAAAUUCAUUUGUAUCAGAUUAUCAAUUACUGAUGUUUGUCAAAAGAUUAACCUGUAAUUGCUUAAUAAGCAAAGUGGAUCAAGCUUUGAACUUUAUGAGUUUUGAAAUGUAGGACUAGACCUUAAGCAGUAUAUCCUCCGUCCUAAUUUAUGUGGCACAAUUGAAUUUCGAGAGUCAACCAAGUUUUUGUUUGAUGGAAUUUCUUUAUAUGUGUUUUAAAUAUUUCAAGUUGUUAAUUAUUGUGAUUUAUAGUAGUACUUUUUAUUUUUAGAUAACCAUGGUGUCCGAUAUUCGCCACCUCCCACCAACAUGGGAUUUGAACCUAAAACUUCUGAGGUUCUCAACCCACUUCAUUGACCAUUAGACCUUGGGUUCAUUGUGAUUUAUAGUAUUGUUUAAUAGUUUCCAAGUACAUUGAUUUUAUUUCAAAAAGCUUAAAACUUUGGUGUCCAAAUUGAUGUUGACACCUAAUUUUUACCCCCCCACCCCCCAUAACUAAGUUUAAUUUCGAGUUCUUCGAUUCUUAAUAAGAUUACAACAUUUAUUUUAUUGAAUAAAGGAAAUUUUCAAAAAUAUUUAUUGGGGUAAUUUCGUCACUUUAAGUAGCAAUAACAUGUUAUCGUGCCCGACUAUAUGAAAUUAUAUGCUUUGGUUACUUAAAUGGCUAUUUUCUAUAAAAUAAUCAAAGUUUGUCUUGAAAUAAUUUCGAAUGGUUAAUCUUGGUCUAAACAUAAUUUAAUCUCAAAAAUAAUUUGUAUUUAAUCUCAAAAAUAAUUUGUUCAUAUAAAUAUUUGUUUAAAUUUUAUUAAAUCAAGAAGCUCAGAAUUAAAGGAAAUAUUAAUUGAUUUCGAAUUUUGAUUCAAUUCGGCCAACCUAUCAGCUUCGACCACAAUUGAAAUUAGAUUGGCCAUUAUUGCGAGCAAUUGGCCAAUUGAUUUUAAAUUUGGCCAAAAUUUGAAUAAAUCAGCCAAAUCCCUAAUUACAUAAUCCACCCAAUUAAAUCAAUAUUGUCUCAUUUUAUAAACUACAAAUAGCAGCCCACUUUCUUAAUUUAGCUUACUAGCCUUGCCAACCUAAUAGUUAAGAUCAGCCCUUUCCCCUUUCAGUUGGGCCGUUAGUCCAAAACUUUCAGAUGACCCAACAAUUUUCAAAUGACAGCAAACCCAACCCAUUUUCUCAGCAAUCUUUUUCUUUAAUUAUAUUGACCGCCCCAGCCCAACAACAACAUCCGAUUCAUAACCAGGCGCAAUUUCAGCAUCCCCACCAGCCUAUUUUCCUUUUUCCUAUUUUCCUUUUUUUUCUCAAGCAGGCCUAAAUCAACCACCUGUGACCCGAUCCAACCCAAUUCCCUUUACCCCCUUUAUGUUCUUUCUCUUCAAACCAAGGGAAAACCAAAAACAGCUGUAAUACUACAACACCACCACCUUCAUCGACAACACAAGCAACCAACAACGGCGAAAAACCCGAAUCCAUCAACCCGAUAACCCGACUCCACCAGCCCCAACCCUUUUGUUUGCUCUCCACAAGCAUAUCACGCGUUAGAAAGAUGAGAAAGGAAUCCAAGAAAAAAUCAGUCCCAAACCUUCUAGAACGAGCCUACGUGUCAUCCCCAAAGGUUCAAUCCCGUGUUUCUCGGAUAAGAUUGUACGAUUUCGUACAGAGUUGGAUGAUUUUCAUUGGUUCUUGGAAAGAGUCCGUUUUUCCUAAAUGGUAUUAGUCUACCUGUCGCAAAUUUCUCCAAAAAAAUCCAAAGUUGGUAUGUUUUGGGCUAAAAAAUGAGGUUGUGGGAGGAUGGGAUUCUGAAUUUCGAAUUUCUCUUUUUUUUUAAUCCCUAGAUUACCCCCAAUUCAUCCCAUAUAUAAGGAUCCAUCGGGUCACUGUGAUGGGGGGAUUUUUUUUUAGAUGGGACUCUCCUCUUUUUUUCUAGGUUCACAACUUUAGAGGUAAAGGGAUUCCAACUGGGAGGUUUGGAAAAUUUCGCAAAAGUAUCGAGGGUUUUGGGGUCGAAAAAUUUUAGGAAAAAAUUUCUUAAAUUAGGAAAUUGAUAGAGAGGGCUAAGUUCAGAAACCAAGGAGGAAGUUUCUAGAGAAAGGAAACAAAAUUUUUAAUAUAGGUGUCUUUGGUCGACGAUUACUUCGAGCUUUCGUGGUCACCGUGUUAAAAUUUCUAGUGGUGUUGCAAUCCUGUCGUCAGCUCAACAACCCAUUUUGCUGCUCUGAAACAGGUAAACGCGUCUUUUCCUUUGAGUUUGUUUUGCUUCUUCAUCUCAUCCUUCAUAGUUUUGUAAUUAUAGUGAUAGUGGGAUGGUUUGUUGUAGAUGGUUGUUAUGGCCAUAGGAUUUUCUUGAAAAGAUUGCCGUUAUGUUGGUCGUUGCAUAAAUGUCUACACUCCAAUCCUUCGCUCCACUUUCGAUUUCGUAUGUUUCGGUUCGAUCGUUUUGACUCACCAUAUUAUUUUCAUGCUGUUAGUUAGUUUCAAUCCAUUCUUAAUAGUAAUCAAUGUUGUCAUGGUGGUGUUUUUUUUUAGUAUAAAUGUUGCUGAUUUUUUCAGUUUAAAUAGUAUUACUUUCAAUCUAGAAUAUUGUUAUUUUCUGAGUCUAAGUAUUGUUGGGUUUCAACCCCAAAUAUUAUUGUGUUUUUUAGUCCAAGUAGUGCUGUUUUUAGGCCUGAUUAUUGCUGUUUUUUAGCCUAAAUAUCGCAGGUUUUUAGCCUGAAUGAUGUUUCGGAACUUAAAUAUUUUUCCCAGACCUUGAACAUCGUCGUUGAACUCUUUGGUUUUGUUUUGUUGCGUCAAACAUGUAAAAUUUUCUUAAGUAGCAUACAGUUGAGUCGGAUCUUAUUUGGUUGUCUUUAGAAUCGAUCAAUAACAUGUUGGUUGUUUUGUUUCGAUUUAAAUCGGUCUUCCUUUCGAAUUAUAGAUGACCAAAAUAGAUAAUGUGCUUCUUUCUUCUUGAAAAUGACGUUCAAAACUGUUUGUGCUUGAGGCGUUGAUUUAUUUUUGCUUUCCCCCUUUGUUAAAAAUAUGUCCAAUUCAUCUUUUUGUGUCGAUUAGAACAGUGGCUUGUCAAUAUCCUAUUCUUACGUUGGUCUGAUUUUCGCUCAUAGGCUUAAAACUCUUAAGGUUUUGCAAAGCUAUUAUGUAGAAAACAACGAUUCUAUUGUCUUUUGGAUACGAAUCUGCAUCCUCAAUAUUUCUUCCGAUAAAUUGUUUCGGAGUCUAUCGUUUUCUCUUUUUGUCUUUGUUAAUAUGUGUCAUUUGCUACUACUUGUUGAUUCUUUGUUUGUAAUACUUGUUUUUCGGUUAUCUUCUACCCUGUUUAAUUAUCUGGUUCAAUAUAUUAAUUUUUUUUAGCUUCAAGAAUCUUGUGAUGAACUAUCACUUGUUGGUCAUUGAUAUCAAAAUAAAUCAAGAUGUGUUCAAACCAAGCUAUAUAAUUGGUCUUUUCUCUUAAGUUUGUGCUUUCUGGUUGAUAAAUUUUAAGGUGAUAUUUCUAUGGGUGAAAUGAAUCAGGAGCUUUACAUGAUAUUUCUUUUAAUUAGAUCACACUAGUACUGUUUUAUUCAUGCACCAAAUGUAUUCUUUUCCAUGUCAUCACUUAUUUGUUAAGUAACCAACUUUCAAACAUAUAUUAAUUUUCUUACUUUUUACUUUGCAUGUGGAUACGUUUGAGUCCUAAACGGACUCCUUUUCACCUUUGCAUCCUCGCUAUGGGCCCUUGAGGCUCACCUCGUUGAACUAAGCCCAAAAGAAGGUCCAAAAGGCCAUCGUUUGGCGUAUGGAUACGAGAAGACGGGAGGAAAGGAAAUGGAUUAAAGCCCUACAUUUGAAGCGGCUAAGAGACAAAAGUCUCAUUUAUUAUUUCAUUCUAUUUAAUUAUUGUUGCUUUUUUUAUUUAUUUUAUUUGUUUGUUCAUUUUAUUUAUUCAUUCGGAUCACGAAGCCAAAGUUGUAAAUUUAAUACAGGUGGAGCGAGACUCGAGCUAAAGACUCGAAAAACAUAGAAUUAGGAUAGGUGCAAAUGGGUCGAAAUCCUAACUAGAUUAGGAUAGGGUCGACGGUUUGGGCUUAAAAGCCUAAAUCAUUACUUUCCCACUUUUUUCCUUUUUUCUUUUCAUUUACUUGUUUGCUUGUCUCUUUGCGAAGUUAGUUAAAUCCCUAACUAAGUCACUAAAAAAUUGAUUUUGAAAUUUUUUUUAUUUAAUCAACUAUUUUUCUAGCAAAUUGAUUUUCCGAAGUUAAUCAAAAGAAUGUUUUUAAACAGUCCGGAUAACCGCAAGUUAACGGACGUUUUAGGUGCCUAACACCUUCCUAAAAUGUUAAUAGGAACUGCUUACUCAGAAUCUAUUAACUUAAACGAUUUUCCUGUUUUGAAUUGUUUGAUGUAAUUCUCUAAAGGUUUCUUAAUUUCUUUUCAAAAUUAAGUGGCGACUCUCUUUCAAAAGUUAAAAUUUCCGCAAAAUAGAAAUGGCGACUCUGCUGGGGAUUUUUUGAACUAGGUUCUAACCAAAUGUUUGAUUUUGUCUUUUGAUUAAAUGUUUAUGUGUUUAUAUAUUUCAAUUCUAUAAAUAUUAAUUAUCGCAUCUCAUGGCAUAUCCCUGCAUUAUUUAAACUGUUUUGGGAUUUUGUGGAUGUUCGGCCCUUGUUGUUUAAUUUCAAAAUGUGUUGGAAAUACGAACAUCUUAUUUGCACGUGAGUCAUCUGAUGCUGUUCGUAUUUUCAAACUCAAGUUGUCCUUUUGAGAAUCAGUGUUCAAACCACUCUAGACACAGAGGAUAGAACGAAACCAAAAUCCUAUUUUAGGCAUGAGUGUAGGACGAUCCAGUACCCGAGUGGGGUAUUGGGCCCAUUGGAAAACCUACCCUACGUCUAUUGACCCCGAGUUAAUUACAGACGAAUCAUAUUUAUGUGUUGAAAAAAAUACAUGCUUGUCUAAUUCAAUCCAUUAUCCUUUGGGGUCUGGGGAAGGCUUAUCUUUGUCUGCUUUCAUGUAGGAUAUGGCUCAACUACAUUCCCACGAAAAGUUCAAGAUGGUUACUAAACCUGACGAUUUCUUGAAACUAUGGUGGGACCACAUGAGCGCAGGAGAGAAAAAGAUUGUUAGAACACACAUUGGGCAUCUUCCUUCUUUGAUCGAGAUGGACGCUUGGCCCGAAAUUAUCCAUGUACUAAUAACUUUUUGGGAUGAUCAGAAUAUAGUAUUUCGCUUUAGGGAUGUUGAAUUGACUCCUACCAUUGAAGAGGUAUUAUUUGUUACGAGAGUACAGAAAUGUGUUUUAAGAGAAGGGAGACACCUGAUAAGAACAUUUUAGUCCCGAUUGUGUGGGAUCGUCAAAAGAUCAAGGAGGUAUUUUUAACUAACGACGACACCUGGCUAGGAGAACGUGUGGAGAAAAUAUCACUUUUCGUGAGUUGUAUCGUCGGUUCGGGAGAUUCAAUGCUUUUCACAAAUUUGGGCAUAAAUAUGAGUCAGAAGCAAAAUGGAAAGAGUCGAGAGCCUUUGCAUUUGCGGUAGGCCUACUUUGAACCAUGGUGUUCCCACAAGGGGAAAAUGGCACAAUUCAUCCGAGGGUUGUCUCAGUGACCUAUGCACUCUUCUUUGGAAUGGAGUACAAUUAUAAAAAGGUAUUUCACAACUUAGAUCCUAUGAUUGUUGCCGACUUAUAUCGAACUUUGGGAAGGUGUCAAGUCGAUAAUCGUUUCUUUCAAGGCUGCAACCUUAUGUUACAAUGGUGGAUGAUGAUUCAUUUGGUGAAAAAUCCUAGAAUGACACAACCUGACCACAAAACAAGGUGGAAUCUGCUAGAAUCGCACGACAUGUGGUUGUUUUUACACAGGUUCAAAAGGGAAGCAUCUCAUGAAUUUUGGCUUAAGACUCUUGGAGAAUUAAGAGAUGACGAUGUCCAAUGGUCCCUUAACUAUCUUCAUUCAGGGAAAUACAUUAUUCAAGGGGGUGAGUGGCCUUUUCUAGUGCUUCCGGGUAUCAGGGGAACCUGUCCCUACAAUUCUGGUAGAGUUCUUAGGCAAUUUGAGAUCAAGAAGGAGAUGCCUCAAAUCGAUUCUAUGCUCAGAUUCUUCACCGAAUAUGAUGAAACCGAGCCCUCGCUCAAAGACUACAUGAUAAACGAAUUUAGAAGGAGAAGGUGGACGGAAGUCUCUUUCCAUAUAGGGUAUGUACCUGAAGUCAACGAUACUUACAAGGAGUGGGUAAAAAAGAGCCUCAGUGGUGCAUUAAUUUCGGGGCCAAACGUGCCCACUUGGGUCGUGGAUGUAGAAUUCGAGCAUCAGAUCCAACUCCACAGGCUUCAGGAUAAAUUUUAGAAAAAUGAAAUCGCGCACCGACAUCGCAUGUAGAAGAUGCUUUAACAAUACGUAUGUUGAGGGAAGAGUUGAAAAGAGCUAGGCAAGAGGCUGAUGAUGCUAGGCAGUGUUUAAUCGAUUUGGAUGAUAGCAUGGCCUCUCAACUCGAUAGUAUAGGGAAAAUGACUUACCACAGCAAGGCACAAUUAUACGGGAGUCAUCUGAUCAUCAAUAGGUAUCAAAUAGCACAGGAGGUGAACAAGGAAAAGAAGGCAAAGACAGACAAAGGAGCCUCCGUUAGCUAGUUUUUCUAUUUCCCCUGCGCGGGAACUUAUUUUCUUUCAUGUUAUUUCCCUUUUUUCCUAAAGAUUGUAUCCCUCUUUUCUUAUUUUUUUGAAGGCAUCUAUGCCCUUUUUCGUGUCUAUAUAAAUUAGGGGAUAAUGGAUUGACUUUAAGGAAGCAUAUAUUUUCUUCAAAAUCGUUAGGCCUGAACCCUUGGCUCAAAAAGGGUCACCCCAGUUAGGAUACGCAUUAUUAUAAUGUUUUGUGUGAUAUAAUUGUCUUAUGUUCUUAUGUGUGUUUAUUUGGAUCAACGGCAAGUUUAUUCGCUAUACUCCUAUGGAUGAAUUUGGCUAUGACUCAAAAAACUCUAUGUGAUUAUUUCUUGUCAAAUAUUUUGCAUUACUUAUCACAUACGGAAACUAACACAUCUGCCUUUGAGUUGUUUUACUUAACAGAUAGUAGAAACUACUCUGUGUUGAUAUAAGUUGGCAGAACAUCCCUACUUCACCCGGUCAAAAGCGCACAAAAUCCCAUCCUCUGACCAUCAUUUAAUAAUACUAGAAAUAAUGAAGAAAACGCAUUGACCAUCAGGGACAAUCUAAUAGUGGAACAGAAUGAGAUGAUUACGGAACUCGCAAGAAAGCUUGAAAUGCUUCAGGAGGAAAUAAAUUGUACUCGAGAUUUGGCUCACCUGGCCAUCACUGUUAAUGCUCCCGCUCCAGGAGGACACGGGACUCCACUCCAAAUACCUUCCCUUAGUACGCCUAUUCUCGGGGAUCAGCCAAAUAACAUAUCAUCCGUCUCUGCCCCUUCACUUGUCCAAAAUACCAAUCGCGAAAAUAACCCAGAUGCCUACCAUCCACAAAAUCCAUCUCUAACCCCACAAAACCCAUCUACGAAUCUAUUCCCAAAUCCCCAGAACACAUUUUCAAAUCAAGAAAAUUCAUUCCCAAAUCCACAGGAUUCACUUCCAAACCCGUAAAAUCCAUUAAAUCUAUUCCCGAAUCCACCAAAUUCGUUUCCAAAUCCGCAGAAUUCUCCUCCAAUUCCACCAAACCACUCGUAAAUUCCACAAAACCUUCCUAAAUUUUAAAACAUCAUCCCCACCUACCAAUAAACUUCCUUUCAUCUGCAAAAUCAAGCCUCCUUUCCAAAUCUCCCUCAUGCCAUCAUAUCCCCUGACAUCUAUAAUCCCCUACCUAAUUUUGAGAUGGACCAUUACUAAGAGAAGGAGAAAGAGUGGAUGAUCGAGGAUGAAAUUAGGUUGCUAGCUAUGAAUGAAGAGAUCAUGAGGAUCAAAGAAUCUCAUGAAGCGAGGGACCACGACGGUUUAGGGUAUGAUGACUUAUGUGUUCACUCUGGAGUAGAUCUACCAGAAGGGUACAAGGUCCCCAAGUUUGAAGUGUUUGAUGGUGCUGGGAAUCCAAUGGCCCAUCUGAGGAGGUACUGUAAGCAACUGGUAGGGAUCGAGAAAAAUGAGGUGUUAUUGAUGCGCCUAUUCAGCCGAAGUUUAAGCGGUGAAGCCUUAGAGUGGUUCAUGUAUCAGUAGCCAAAAAAAAUGGACUGGUUGGAAAGCAUUGGCUAAGGGUUUCCUCGAAAGGUUCUCAUUCAACAUUGAAAUUAUCCCGGACCGGUAUUCACUAGAUCGGAUCAAACAAAAGAGUGAUGAGAGUUUUCGAGACUAUGUUUUUCGUUGGAGGAAGGAAGCUGCCAAAGUUCAACCCUCCAUGUCUGAGGAAGAAAUGGUAUCCGUAUUCUCUCACGCUCAAGAAGGACAAUAUUAUACCAGGAUGGUGUCCGCUUCAGGGCAACUUUUGCAGAUUUGGUAAAAAUUGGGUAAUCACUGGAAGAAGGUAUUCGUACAGGAAAAAAUUGCCAAGACCCCAACAUCGUUCGAAACUGCUAUGUUCUCGAAGAAGAAAAAAGAGGAUGUAGGCACGGUUUCUGCUGAUUCUAUUGCAAAAACGAAAAAAAGGUUCAACUCUAGGAAUGUUUUCUCUUCUCCACCAUCACCAAACUUUCAGCAUGUAUUCUACACCCAACCCCAAUACCAAGCUUCACUUCCAAAUAUCCAACCUCAGUACCAAACUCCACUCCCAAAUAGUCAACCCCAGUACCAAGCUCCACUCCUAAAUGUCCAAUCCCAAUUCCAAGCUUCGCAGCCAAAUAUUUUUCCCUAAUGUCAAGUUCCACCGCUGAAUUAUCAUCCUAAUAUCCAAUCCACUCUUCCAAACAUCCGAAAAAACAUCCAAGCACCUCUAAAUUAUCAUUAAGUGCUUCCUCCUGCAAAUCAAAAUCAUUAUAACACUCCGCAUCCAAACAUCAAAAAUAAACCUCCCCAAAACUCCACGUUGCUUGCUGAAAGUCGCACCCAACUAUUUGAAAGAUUGAAGAAUAUCGGUCACUUGUAAUCGAUCCAGUUAAAUCUUGUCAAUCCCAACUCUCGAUUUUAUUAUCCUGAUCAAAAUUGUUCUUAUCAUUAAGGAGCAGCAGGGCACAGUACCGAGGACUGUUUUAUCUUGAAACAGAGGAUCCAAGAUCUGAUUGAUCAAAAGGUCAUCACGCUUCAGUCACCGACACCAAAUGUCAAUAGUAACCCAUUGUCUAAUCAUGGGGGAUCUACUAUUAACAUGAUUGAAAUGAAACGAGAAUGGGUGUCUGGCAAGACUAUUACUAAGAUGAAUUCAGAAGAGUGCAAAAGGGCGGAAGAGGUAGAAAAGAUAGAGAGAGUUGUGGCUACCUUAAGUGUCAACGAGAAAGCCCCAUUUAUAGUGAUGACGGCCCCUAUCCAAGUGUACACUCACCCGCCAAGGAAGGAAUUUAUUGUACAGACCGUUGUUGCCUAAGGGAUGAUGCAAUCGGGAUGAUGCUACAUCUCUAAAGAAUUGACCAACAAAAAAAAUUCACAGAAAAGGCCAACCACUAAAGGGGAGGAUGAGGAAUUUUGGAGGCGUAUGCAACCCAAAGAUUAUUCAAUUUUCAAACAUUUAGAGAAGACGCCGGCCCAAAUCUCCAUUUUGGCACUAUCAAUAAGUUCGCAAUACCACCGAUAAGCUUUAUCAAAGGUCUUGGAUGAAGCGUAUGUUCCCGUAGGAACGAGUGUUGAGAACAUGGUUGCGAUGAUAGAAAACAUUGUGGGGAAUCAUCGUAUAUCAUUCAGUGAUGAAAAGUUGCCUUUUGAAGGAGUGAUGCACAAUAAAGCCUUGCAUGUCACUGUCAUUUGCCAAGAUUAUGCGAUUAAUCAGGUAUUAAUAGAUGAUAGAUCUGGUGUGAAUAUUUGUCCCCUCUCCACGUUGGUUCAAAUGGGCUAUAAUUUGGGAAAAAUUCAUCAAAGCCACAUAAAUGUGAGAGCAUUCGAUGGAGGGCAGAGAGAUACCAUAGGAGAAAUUGAUUUGUACAUCCAAAUGGGACCUGCUGAGUUCAAAACUAAGUUUCAUGUUAUGGAUAUUCAUCCUAGCUACAACCUUCUCUUGGGAAGACCAUGGAUACAUGGUACAAAGGCCGUUUCAUCACCCCGUCAUCAACUAUUGAAAUUCAUUUGGGAGGAUCAUGAAGUAGUCAUCCAAGGGGAAGGAAGCCGAGCGGAUCGUCCCAAUGGUUAUGUGCCGGUAAUUGAAGAUGUUCCAAAGGGUAGUAGUUUCUAUACGGUUGAAAUUAUAAAUGCUGUGGAGAAGGAUCUGACGCUCAAAGGGACAAUGCCUUCUUUCUAUAAAAUAAUUGCGACGGUGAUGUUAAGAAAUAGAUUCGAGCCUGGUCGGGGUUUGGGUACGAAUCUACAAGGAAUUAUUGAGCCUAUUAUGAUCCCAGAGAAAGCCUUUAAAUAUGGGUUAGGAUAUCACCCUACCGAGAAGGAUAUGGUUGAGGAUAAGUUAGAGCAGAGUCUGUGUAGGCCCUUUUUGCUUUUAUACCAGUCAUUUCCUAUACGGGAGAUGUCGAAUGAUGAUGGUCUUGAGUAUGGGAUAGGAGAUUUGUUUGAGGGAUGCAAUGCUAUACCAGAAGAUUUCCCAAAGUCCGGCGGGGUGAAGAAGAUUGCGCCAGGGGAGGCCUUGAAAAACUGGACCUCCACUCCAACCCGUCGCCCAUCGUGGUAGAUGAAAGGGCAAUUCAGAAUAGUUUUAAAAUCAGUGAUGAUCUGGAAGAGGCCCCACGAUCCACACUUUAUAUCUCAAAACUUUAUUUUUAUAUUUUACUGCUUUCAAAAAGGCAUGGACUUGUAUUUGCACGAGUCAUGAGCCAUGGUUUUGUAAUUAUCUCGCAAAUUUCAUUGAAAAGGCCUUCAUUCAUUUAAAAAAAAAUUAUUAUUCCUGAAACAUUCCUAUUCGUAUAUUUUAUUAUUAUCUUAUUAUCAUCUAACUUGGUUUGUUUGUCCAUUACAGUAACAGUAACUUAAAAUCUGCCAAUGUCAUGUCAUAUCAAAGCUUAGACGAACAAAAUAAGGGGAAUGAUGAUGAUUGGAAGGACGGUGAUGAGGAACAAUUAGUUGAAGAUAUAGAGGAGUUUGAGAAUCGAGAAAAGCCUAACCUAGAGGAAACUAAAAUAGUCAACCUCGGAGAUCAAGAUGAAAUCAAAGAAAUAAGUGUCAACGUCCACUUGGCGGAAGCACAAAAGAGAGAGCUCAUUCACCUGUUACAGGAAUAUAUUGACGGUUUUGCUUGGUCCUAUGAUGAUAUGCCGAGAUUGAGCACCAAUAUUAUGUCGCGUAAGUUGCCAAUAAAUCCAGAGUUUGAUCCAGUCAAGCAAAAAAUACGGAAAUUCAAGCCAGAUUUAAGUCAAAGAUCAAGGAAGAAGUGACAAAACAAAUCCAGUCUAAGGUUGUGGAGGUCACAAAAUAUCCAACAUGGUUGGCCAACAUUGUCCCUGUGCCGAAGAAGGACGACAAUAUUCAAAUUUGUGUUGACUAUAGAGACUUGAAUAGAGCCAGUCCUAAAGAUAAUUUUUCGUUGCCCAAUAUCCACAUCCUCAUCGAUAACUGUGCAAAGCAUGAAAUUCAGUCAUUCGUUGAUUGUCUUGCCGGGUAUCAUCAGAUAUUAAUAGAUGAGAAAGAUGCAGAAAAGACGACUUUUAUUAAGCCCUGGGGUAUUUAUCAUUACAAGGUAAUGUCGUUUGGUCUCAAGAACGUGGGUACAACAUAUAUGAGGGCUAUGACGAUGAUUUUCCAUGAUAUGAUCCAUAAAUAGAUUGAGGUGUAUGUGGAUGAUGUAAUUAGCAAAUCCUGCGAGAGUUCAGAUCAUCUGACUCAUCUGGAGAAAUUCUUUAACAGAUUAAGAAAGUACAGUUUAAAGUUAAAUCUUGCUAAGUGUACUUUUGGUGUGCCAUCAGGGAAGUUACUGUUCAUAGUUAGCAGAAGAGGCAUCGAGUUAGACCCAUCCAAAAUCAGGACAAUCCAGGACUUGCCAUCGCCGAGGACUAAGAAGAAAGUUAUGAGUUUCAUGGGUCAUUUGAAUUACAUUAGUAGCUUCAUCGCUCAAUCGACAUUCAUAUGCGAUCCAAUUCUCAAGAUAUUGAAGAAAAAUUCAUUGAAUGAGUGGACAGAAGAAUGUCAGAGAGCUUUUGACCACAUCAAAGAAUAUCUAUCUGCACCACCGGUUUUGGUUCCACCAAGAGAAGGAAUUUCAUUAUUGCUUUACCUGUCAGUCCCAAAAAAUGCUUUUGGAUGUGUCCUCGAGCAACAUGAUGAGACCGGUAGAAAAGAGAAAGCCAUUUACUACUUGAGUAAAAAGUUUACGCCAUAUGAAGCCCGUUAUACUCUUGUAGAAAUGACAUGUUGUGCUUUGACUUGGGCUGCACAAAAGUUAAGGCAUUAUCUGUCUUCGUACACGACAUACAUCAUCUCGAGAAUGGAUUCAUUGAAGUAUAUAAUACAGAAGACUAUACCCACAGGAAAGCUAGCCAAGUGGCAAAUAUUGCUAAGCGAGUUUGACAUCAUGUAUGUAACUCAAAAUGCAAUCAAGGGGCAAGCUUUGGCAGAUAAUUUGGCAGAGAAUCCAGUUGAUGAUGAGUAUGAACCACUUCAAACUUACUUCCCAUAUGAGAAAAUUCUAUUUGUGGGAGAAGACAUUACAGAAAUUUACCCUGGAUGGAGGUUAUUCUUUGAUGGAGCGGUCAACUUCAAAGGUUCAGGAAUCGGAGCAGUGUUGGUCUCAGAAAUGGGUCAACAUUAUCCAGUAACUACUAAGUUGCAUUUCCCAUGCACCAACAACAUGGCCGAAUAUGAAGCUUGCAUCCUGGGUCUCAAAUUGGCACUUGAUAUGGGUGUUCGUGAAUUGCUAGUCAUCAGGGAUUUAGAUUUGCUGAUUCACCAGGUACGGGGAGAAUGGGCGGUAAAAAAUUCCAAGAUUACUCCUUAUGUUGAGCUGGUACAGGAAUUAUGUGGAAAAUUCAAAGAAGUUGAUUUCAGACAUAUCCCAAGAAUACAAAAUGAGUUUGUUGACGCUUUGGCCACUAUAUCCUCUAUAAUUUGGCACCCAGAUCAGAGUUAUAUUAAUCCUUUGGAAAUAAGCUUGAAGGAGCAACCUGCGCAUUGUGCACGUGUUGAAGAGAAGCCCGAUGGAAAGCCAUGGUACUAUGACAUUAAAAGGUAUUUAGAAUCUGGAAUAUAUCCUGAAGAGGCCAGCAACAACCAAAAGAAACAACCCAGCGUUUGGCAAAAAACUACUUUCCAAGUGGGGAAUUUCUUUUUAAGAGGACACCUGAUUUAGGAUUUUUAAGAUGCGUAGAUGCUGUGGAAGCCAAUAAAUUGAUAAAAGAAGUACACACAGGAGUUUGCGGACCCCACAUGAAUGGGUUUGUCCUUGCCAUAAAGAUCCUGAGAACCGGCUACUUCUGGAUAACUAUGGAGAAUGAUUUAGUAAGUAUGUGCAGAGAUGUCCAAAAUGCCAUACACAUAGAGAUUUGAUUCGAAUGCCUCCACACGAGCUUCAUGAAAUGAAUUCACUUUGGCCUUUCGUAGCUUGGGGCAUGGAUGUUAUCGGACCGAUAGAGCCAUCAGCAUCGAUAGGCAUAAAUUUAUUUUUGUUGCCAUUGACUACUUCACUAAGUGGGUCAAAGCUGCAUCAUAUAGAUUCGUCACUAAGAAAAUGGUUGCAGCUUUCGUUAGGAAUAACUUGAUUUGCCAAUUCGGAGUACUGUAAUCAAUCAUUACUGAUAAUGGGGCAAACUUGAACAGUCACUUGAUGAAAGAAAUUUAUGAUCAGUUCAAAAUUGUGCAUCGCAACUCUACCGCAUAUCGUCCACAGAUGAAUGGAGCCGUAGAAGCUGCCAAUAAGAACAUCAAGAAGAUCUUGAGAAAGAUGGUCAAAAUGAUAGAUCAUGUCAUGAGAUGUUACCUUAUGCUUUGCUAGGUAUCGCACAACAGUUCGAACCUCCAUCUGGUCAACUCUCUAUUUGUUGGUUUACGGGAAUGAAACUGUGAUACCUGUUGAGGUUGAAAUACCUUCCCUGAGGAUUAUUCAAGAGGCCGGACUAAGUAACAAAGAGUGGGUUCGCGCUCGUUGUGAACAACUCAUGUUGAUUGAUGAAAAGAGAAUGGUUGCCAUGUGUCAUGGUUAGUUAUAUCAGCACAAGAUGAUUCAUGCUUUCAACAAGAAAGUGAGAGCUCGAACAUUUGAAGUUGGGCAAUUAGUUCUCAAAUGCAUACUCCCUCACCAAGAAUAUUACAAGGGCAAGUUCGCUCCAAAUUGGCAAGGUCCAUACAUAGUUCGCAAGGUACUAUCUAGAGGGGCUCUGAUUUUUCUGAGAUGGAUGGCCAUGAGUGGACCAAACCAAUCAAUUUUGAUGUGGUGAAAAGAUACUAUGUUUGAAGGGCGUUCUAGUUUUAUGGUUCUUAGUUUAUCUGUAAUCGCCAUGUAAUAAUGUGUUUUAUGAUGUGUAAUUGCCUAGAACACUUUUCCCUUUAUGUACGAACUAUGUUUGACCUGAAUUCCCAAGAAAGGGAUACGUAUGCGGCCUAUGUCGGAUUCGGUCAACCUCUUAGAGAAUUUAUUCUUUCCCUUUAUGUAUGAACUACUUGAUGACCUGAAUUCCCAAGAAAGGGAUACGUAGGCGGCCUAUGUCGGCUUCGGUCAACCCAUUAAUUUGUUUUGUAUAUUCCUAGCGUAAUCCUAAACUACAUUUGACCUGAUUCCUACUUCAACGGGAUACGUAGGCGCCCCAACGGUUCGAUCAUAUAACCCCAAGAAAUGAAAACUGGGGCAGAAUUUUUGAGAAGGAAUCUCGAAAAUUCACAAGAGAAGAUCAACAUCCAACAAAGAGAACGAAGAUCAGCAAAGACUUUAGAUCCACUCAAGAUGAUAUCAUCUCAGACUACUUUAAACUGGGGCAGAAAUUUUAAGGAAGACCUCAAAAUUUCAAUCAAAUACUGGAAUAUAUUUUAGAUUCCCCAGCACUAGAGGUCAAAGUUGAGAUUUGAGAAUAACCACCUGUGAUAAAGUCUAGGAAGACUGAAUCUCCAUCUUUGAUAAAACCUCUGGUAGAGAGCCUCGACAAUCUUGAAUCCCAGCUAUCCUCCGUCAAACGUCAGACAUUGUCAGAAUCAAGAUAAAGAAGGUCGUUGAGCUAGCACAUGACAUGACUGGCAAAGAUUUUUCAAAGUUUUGCAGGAGUUCUCAAAAUUAUUUUCUAAAAAGUAAGAGUACUAAAAUCUAUAUAAAUCUUUUACUUAGUUAUUGCCUAGACAUCAAUUAGGACGGAGAGUCAUAAGUAGAAGUCCCAACACGACGAAAUACCUGAAAAAUGGCGAAAGGUAAAUCAAGGAUCGAAGGAGGUCAACACGAAGUAGUUUCACUCAAACUAAUCAUUUUUUAUGGGCGCAAGGACCAAUACACAAAAAUGAAAGUCUCUUUCAAAAAUCUCCGAGCAAAUUGGGAGCCACACCAGAGCACUAAUGCUCAAGAACAGUAUUUUUGGGUAGCCCUAAAAAUGGGUUUAGUACCCAUAUAUUGAAGACCUUUUAAAGUUGUCCAUCUCAUUUCUUGAGAUCAUGGAGGACAAAUAAAAGUGUCUUGUCUUCUUUACAAAUAUUGUAUUUAGAAUUUUUCUAAAAAACAUUCGCUAGCAAAAACGACUUUGUGUCUACUAAUCGUCUACCUUGAGUAUAGGUACAUGCAGAAAGCAAGAUCCUGACAAAUGAUUUCAGUUGAAACUAUUUUUAAUUUACCGGAAGAACCAUUGCAUAUCAUUGCCGAAAGAACAAUUUGAGAGAUUAUCUAUAAGUCAUAUUGUAUCCAAGGUCGGAUGAUAUGCAGGAACCCCUGAAAGCUAGCGAUUGGAGGGAUAUCUGUAAGCUGUCUCUUAUCCAAAGUCGAAUAAUUUGCAGGAUUACCUAAAAGCUAGAAAUUCAAAGGAUAUUUGUAAGUUUCCUCUUAUCCAAUAUCAAAUAAUGUGCAAGAUUAUCCAAAGAUUGAUAAUUUAAAGGAAAUUUAUAAAUCAAUCAUCGUCAAUAACCAAAAAGGUUAUCCUUCCACAUACAACAAGAAUUAUAGGUGACCGAAGAAGUUACCACAUCUACACAAGAUUACAUGGUUGUGAGGACCAUUCUUCAUAAAAUAUCAUUGAUGUCCGAAGGGCCACCCCACUUUGAAGAUAUAUUCAACCGACAAAUGCCAUAAUUAUACAACUAUCAAGAAGGUUGUUGUGCCUGUUAUUUCAAGUUAUUUCCUUUCAAACAGGUACAAGAAAGGAUGACUUCGCUUUUUAGACAACAACUCACGCGGAGAUAUGGUAAAAUACUAUAUACCUCUUUCGUGAGUUAUGCUUAUCACUAAUGAUUUUUGUUUGAGAUAUUGUCGAGAGCAUCCGAGAGGAUAAAAAUCUCAAAUCAAAACCACAAGUGAGGACGACUCCAAAAAGGACGCAGCACAACGUGGAACUCUUUCUUAGCAGCAAAACGGGACAUAGUCUAGACAGGGAUGUCAAACUCUCUGGAUGCGAGCUAAAUGAUGAUUACCACCACCAUCUAACCACACCCCUUUUAGAAGGCAUGUGGGUAUUUUGGGAUAUUCUGGUUUCAGCUUCACCUUCGGGAUAUUUUCUUUACUCAUACCGAGGGUAACCUUCUCUUUCUUUCAAAUUUGGGUGACAACAUACUUAGAGUUUUGAAAAUUAUGUCCAGGUAAGUUCUUAUCUAUGGAUGUGAAGGAUCCCACAUUCAUGAUUAAGAGGUUACAAACCUUUUUUCCGCAACUCAGUCAACUUGUCACUUAUCCUGAUCCAAAGAUUGUCUAAAAAUAGAAGACUAUCUUUUCUACCGAUAGAGUCGAACUACAAGCAGUCUGAUUCCCUGAGUCUCGGGGAUAUGUAAGCUGGGCUCUAUGUAGAAAACUCAACUGAAUUCCAACCUCCCCCCAAAUCCCUCUAUUCCAUAGCUUUUUGAUUUUGUCAAAAACUCCAAAAAUCGAGACAACUUGUGAAUUUUUUAAAAAUCAUGCUUUAAAUCAUGCUUUAUGAACUACAAGUGGCCUGAAUUCUCAUGCCACCUGAGAUAUGUAGGAAACCUGAUGCCAAGGUUCGGCCAUAACUCAUUAAACUCGUGCUUAAGCCAACCUUUUUCAGAUGUGAAUUUGUGAUCAAACAAAAAUUAGGAACGUCAACCUCCCUUUGCCUAGGAUUACUUGCAUCCACCCUACCCAAAGGGAGGGGGCAGUUGUUGACACCUAAUUUUUACCCCCCAUAACUAAGUUUAAUUCCGAGUUCUUUAAUUUUUAAUAAGAUUACAACAUUUAUUUUAUAGAAUAAAGGAAAUUUUCAAAAAUAUUUAUCGAGGUAAUUUCGUCACUUUAAGUAGCAAUAACAUGUUAUCGUGCCCGACUAUAUGAAAUUAUAUGCUUUGGUUACUUAAAUGGCUAUUUUCUAUAAAAUAAUCAAAGUUUGUCUUGAAAUAAUUUCGAAUGGUUAAAAUCUUGGUCUAAACAUAAUUUAAUCUCAAAAAUAAUUUGUUCAUAUAAAUAUUUGUUUAGAUUUUAUUAAAUCAAGAAGCUCGAAAUUAAAGGAGAUAUUAAUUGAUUUCAAAUUUUGAUUCAAUUCGGCUAACCUGUCAGCUUCGACCACAAUUGAAAUUAGAUUGGUCAUUAUUGCGAGCAAUUGGCCAAUCGAUUUUAAAUUUGGCCAAAAUUUGAAUAAAUCAGCCAAAUCUCCAAUUACAUAAUCAACCCAUUUAAAUCAGUUUUGUCCCAUUUUGUAAACUACAAACAGCAGCCCACUUUCUUAAUUUAGCUUACUAGCUUUGCCAACCCAAUAGUUAAGAUAAGCCCUUUCCCCUUUCAGUUGGGCCAUACAGUUGGGCCGUUAAUCCAAAACUUUCAGAUGACCCAACAAUUUUCAAAUGACAUCAAACCCAACCCAUUUCCUCAGUAACCUUUUUCUUUAAUUAUAUUGACCGCCCCAGCCCAACAACAACAUCCAAUUCAUAACCAGGCCCAAUUUCAGCAUCCCCACCAGCCUAUUUUCCUCUUUAUUCUCAAACAGGCCCAAAUCAACCACCUGUUACCCAAUCCAGCCCAAUUCUCUUUACCUCCUUUAUCUUCUUUCUCUUCAAACCAAGGGAAAACCAAAAACAGUUGUAAUACUACGACACCACCACCUUCAUCGACAACAUAAGCAACCAACAAUGGCAAAAAAUUUGAAUCCAUCAACCAGAUAACCCGAAUCCACCAUCCCCAACCAUUUUGUUUGCUCUCCACAUGCGUAUCAGGCAUCAAAAAGACGAGAAAAGAAUCCAAGAAAAAAAUAGUCUCAAAUCUUCUAGAACGAGCCUAGGUGUCAUCCCCAAUGGUUCAAUCUCGUGUUUCUCAUAUAAGAUUGUACGAUUUCGUACAGAGUUGGAUGAUUUUCAUUGGUUCUUGAAAAUAGUCCAUUUUUCCUAAAUGGUAUUAGUCCACCUGUGGCAAAUUUCUCUAAAAAAAUCCAAAGUUGGUACGUUUUGGGCUUGAAAAUGAGGCUGUGGGAGAAUGGGAUUCUGAAUUUUGAAUUUCUCUUUUUUUUUCAAUCCCUAGAUUACCCCGAACUCAUUCCAUAUAUAAGAAUCCAUCGGGUUACUGUGAUGGGGGGAUUUUUUUUUUAGACGGGCUUCUCCUCCUUCUUUCUAGGUUCGCAACCUUAGAGGUAAAGGGAUUCCAACUAGGAGGUUUGGAAAAUUUUGCAGAAGUAUCGAGGGUUUUGGGGCCAAAAAAUUUUAGGGGAAAACUUCUUAAAUUAGGAAAUUGAUAGAGAGGGCUAAGUUCAGAAACCAAGGAGGAAGUUUCCAUAGAAAGAAAACAAAGUUUUUAGUAUAGGUGUCUUUGGUCGACGACUACUUCGAGCUUUCGUGGUCACCGUGUUAAACUUUCUAGUGGUAUUGAAAUCCUGUCGUCAGUUCGACAACCUAUUUUGAUGCUCCGAAACAGGUAAACGCGCCUUUUUCUUUGAGUUUGUUUUGCUUCUUCAUCUCAUUCUUUGUAGUUUUGUAAUCAUAGUGAUAGUGAGAUGGUUUAUUGUAGAUGGUUGUUAUGGCCAUAGGAUUUUCUUGCAAAGAUUGUCGUUAUGUUGUUCGUUGCAUAAAUGUCUACACUCUAAUCCUUCGCUCCACUUUCGAUUACGUAUGUUUCGAUUUGAUCGUUUUGACUCACCAUAUUAUUUUCAUGUUGUUAGUUAGUUUCAAUCCAUUCUUAAUAGUAAUCAAUAUUGUCAUGGCGGUAUUUUUUUUAGCAUAAAUGUUGCUGAUUUUUUCAGUUUAAAUAGUAUUACUUUCAAGCCAGAAUAUUGUUAUUUUUUUAGUCUAAGUAUUGUUGGGUUUCAACCCCAAAUAUUGUUGUGUUUUUUAGUCCAAGUAGUGCUGUUUUUAGGCCUGUUUAUUGCUGUUUUUUUAGCCUAAAUAUCGCAGGUUUUUAGCCUGAAUGAUGUUUCGGAACUUAAAUAUUUUUCCCAGACCUUGAACAUCGUCGUUGAACGCUUUGGAUUUGUUUUGUUGCGCCAAACAUCUAAAAUUUUCUUACGUAGCAUACAGUUGAGUCAGAUCUUGUUUGGUUGUCUUUAGAAUCGAUCAAUAACAUGUUUGUUGUUUUGUUUCGAUUUAAAUCGGUCUUCCUUUCAAAUUAUAGAUGACCAAAAUAGAUAAUGUGCUUCUUUCUUCUUGAAAAUGACGUUCAAAACUGUUUGUGCUUGAGGCGUUGAUUUAUUUUUCCUUUCCCCCUUUGUUAAAAAUAUGUCCAAUUCAUCUUUUUGUGUCGAUUAGAACAGUGGCUUGUCAAUAUCCUAUUCUUACGUUGGUCUGAUUUUCGCUCAUAGGCUUAAAACUCUUAAGGUUUUGCAAAGCUAUUAUGUAGAAAACAACGAUUCUAUUGUCUUUUGGAUACGAAUCUGCAUCCUCAAUAUUUCUUCCGAUAAAUUGUUUCGGAGUCUAUCGUUUUCUCUUUUUGUCUUUGUUAAUAUGUGUCAUUUGCUACUACUUGUUGAUUCUUUGUUUGUAAUACUUGUUUUUCGGUUAUCUUCUACCCUGUUUAAUUAUCUGGUUCAAUAUAUUAAUUUUUUUUAGCUUCAAGAAUCUUGUGAUGAACUAUCACUUGCUGGUCAUUGAUAUCAAAAUAAAGCAAGAUGUGUUCAAACCAAGCUAUAUAAUUGGUCUUUUCUCUUAAGUUUGUGCUUUCUGGUUGAUAAAUUUUAAGGUGAUAUUUCUAUGGGUGAAAUGAAUCAGGAGCUUUACAUGAUAUUUCUUUUAAUUAGAUCACACUAGUACUGUUUUAUUCAUGCACCAAAUGUAUUCUUUUCCAUGUCAUCACUUAUUUGUUAAGUAACCAACUUUCAAACAUAUAUUAAUUUUCUUACUUUUUACUUUGCAUGUGGAUACGUUUGAGUCCUAAACGGACUCCUUUUCACCUUUGCAUCCUCUCUAUGGGUCCUUGAGGCUCACCUCGUUGAACUAAGCCCAAAAGAAGGUCCAAAAGCCCAUCGUUUGAUGUAUGGUUACGAGAAGACGGAAGGAAAGGAAAUGGAUUAAAGCCCUACGUGUGAAGCGGCUAAGAGACAAAAGUCUCAAUUAUUAUUUCAUUCUACUUAUUGUUGCUUUUUUUUUUUAUUUAUUUUAUUUGUUUGUUCAUUUUAUUCAUUCAUUUGGUCCACGAAGUCGAAGUUGUAAAUUUAAUACAGGUGGAGCGAGACUCGAGCUAAAGACUCGAAAAACAUAGAAUUAGGAUAGGUGCAAAUGGGUCGAAAUCCUAACUAGAUUAGGAUAGGGUCGACGGUUUGGGCUUAAAAGCCUAAAUCAUUACUUUCCCACUUUUUUCCUUUUUUCUUUUCAUUUACUUGUUUGCUUGUCUCUUUGCGAAGUUAGUUAAAUCCCUAACUAAGUCACUAAAAAAUUGAUUUUGAAUGUCAAUAUCCUAUUCUUACGUUGGUCUGAUUUUCGCUCAUAGGCUUAAAACUCUUAAGGUUUUGCAAAGCUAUUAUGUAGAAAACAACGAUUCUAUUGUCUUUUGGAUACGAAUCUGCAUCCUCAAUAUUUCUUCCGAUAAAUUGUUUCGGAGUCUAUCGUUUUCUCUUUUUGUCUUUGUUAAUAUGUGUCAUUUGCUACUACUUGUUGAUUCUUUGUUUGUAAUACUUGUUUUUCGGUUAUCUUCUACCCUGUUUAAUUAUCUGGUUCAAUAUAUUAAUUUUUUUUAGCUUCAAGAAUCUUGUGAUGAACUAUCACUUGCUGGUCAUUGAUAUCAAAAUAAAGCAAGAUGUGUUCAAACCAAGCUAUAUAAUUGGUCUUUUCUCUUAAGUUUGUGCUUUCUGGUUGAUAAAUUUUAAGGUGAUAUUUCUAUGGGUGAAAUGAAUCAGGAGCUUUACAUGAUAUUUCUUUUAAUUAGAUCACGCUAGUACUGUUUUAUUCAUGCACCAAAUGUAUUCUUUUCCAUGUCAUCACUUAUUUGUUAAGUAACCAACUUUCAAACAUAUAUUAAUUUUCUUACUUUUUACUUUGCAUGUGGAUACGUUUGAGUCCUAAACGGACUCCUUUUCACCUUUGCAUCCUCUCUAUGGGUCCUUGAGGCUCACCUCGUUGAACUAAGCCCAAAAGAAGGUCCAAAAGCCCAUCGUUUGAUGUAUGGUUACGAGAAGACGGAAGGAAAGGAAAUGGAUUAAAGCCCUACGUGUGAAGCGGCUAAGAGACAAAAGUCUCAAUUAUUAUUUCAUUCUACUUAUUGUUGCUUUUUUUUUUUAUUUAUUUUAUUUGUUUGUUCAUUUUAUUCAUUCAUUUGGUCCACGAAGUCGAAGUUGUAAAUUUAAUACAGGUGGAGCGAGACUCGAGCUAAAGACUCGUAAAACAUAGAAUUAGGACAGGUGCAAAUGGGUCGAAAGCCCAACUAGAUUAGGACAGGGUCGACGGUUUGGGCUUAAAAGCCUAAAUCAUUACUAGAUUAGGACAGGGUCGACGGUUUGGGAUUAAAAGCCUAAAUCAUUACUUUCCUGCUUUUCCCCCCUUUUCUUUUCAUUUAGUUGUUUGCUUGUCUCUUUGUAAAGCUAGUUAAAUCCCUAACUAAGUCGCUAAAAGUUUGAUUUUGCAAAAAAAUUUUCCUUAAUCAACUAUUUUUCUAGCAAAUUAAUUUUCCAAAGUUAAUCAAAAGAAUGUUUUUAAACAGUCUGGGUAACCGCAAGUUAACGGACGUUUUAGGUUCCUAACACCUUCCUAAAACGUUAAUAGGAACCGCCUACUUAGAAUCUCUUAACUUAAACAAUUUUCCUGUUUUGAAUUGUUUGAAGUAAUUCUCUAAAGGUUUCUUAAUUCCUUUUCAAAAUUAAGUGGCUACUCUCUUUCAAAAUUCAAAAUUUUCGCAAAACAAUUAACUGUCAAAGUUUGAAUUUUGAAAUUCCGACCGAGCCACAUAAAUAAAACAGAGGGAGUAGUAAAAAGAUUAUGAAUUUGAUUACAUACAUAUUUAAUGAAUUUUUUAACACAUAUACAUAAUUUGGGCCAAAGCUACUUGGUUCUGUCAAACAGUAUGCUGAAGGCUACUCUGCCCCUGUUAAUAAGUGAUAUGAUUGUAUUAGUACUUUUUAUAAUGUCAAUGCAUAGAACUUAAUUUCCUUUCUAGUAAGUGUCAUGUAUAGCAUACUUUUAUCUUCUUCUUACUAUGUCCUUUUGGCUUUGGUCAUUACUAUGUGCCAUGUUUGGAACGAUGCCUCACUCUGUUAAAUAAGUUGUCACAUAUGCAUGCAAGGAAGGAACAGUAUACAAGAAAUUUAUGAAUUUGUUCAAAUUAAAGAUGCAUGGUUGAGCGGAGAUUAAGGAAGGUCAUGUCUAUUUCGGAGAAUCAGUUUGGAUUUAUGCUUAGUCGCUCGACGACAGAGGUAAUCCACUUGGCCAGGAGANNNNNNNNNNNUGGAAAGAAAGAGGGAUCUACACAUGGUGUUCAUCUACCUGUAGAAGGCGCAUGACAAAGUCCCUAGGGAAGUUCUUUGGAGGUGCUUGAAGGUGAGAGGGGUCCCGAUGACGUAAAUCAGAGUCAUUAAGGACAUGUACAAUGAAGGGAAGACUCGGGUGAGGAUGGCGGGCGGAGAAUCAGAUCAUUUUUUGGUCGAGACAAGGUUAUAUCAGGGAUCGACUCUCAGUCCGUGUCUGUUUGUGUUGGUGAUGGAUGUGUUGACGCAAAGUAUUCAAGGUGAGGUGCCUUGGUGUAUGUUAUUUGCAGAUGACGUAGUGUUGAUUGAUGAGACACUGGGAGGUGUAAAUAAAAAAUUAGAGGUUUGGAGGCAUACCCUUGAGUCUUAGGGGUUUAGGUUGAGUAGGUCAAAGAUAGAGUAUAUGGAGUGCAAGUUUAGUGACUCGAAGCAGGAGGCCGAAGUGGUGGUAAGGUUGGAUUCCCAGGAUGUUUGCAAGAGGGAUAGUUUUAAAUAUCUCGAAUCUAUGAUUCAGAGGAAUGGCGAGAUUGAUGAGGAUGUCUCUAAGCGUAUUGGAGCAGGUUGGAUGAAGAGGAGGCUCGCCUCGGGAGUGUUGUACGAUAAGAAGGUGCCCUUAAAGCUUAAAGGUAAGUUCUACGGAGUGGCAAUCCGCCCGGCCGUGUUGUAUGGUGCGGAGUGUUGGCCAGUCAAGAACUCCCAUAUUCAAAUAUUGAAGGUAGCGGAAAUGAGAAUGUUGCAUUGGAUGUGUGGGCUUACUAGAAGGGAUAGAGUUAAGAAUGAGAUUAUCCGGAAGAAGGUGGGAGUGGCGUCGGUGGAAGACAAGAUGAGGGAAAAAAGACUGAGAUGGUUUGGGCAUGUGAUAAGGAGGGGCACAGAUGCCCCAGUUCGUAGGUGUGAGAGACUAGCUUUGGAUGGUUUCAGGAGGAGUAGAGGCUGACCGAAGAAAUAUUGGAGAGAGGUGAUUAGACAUAACAUGGAGCUGCUACAGCUUACUGAAGACAUUACCCUAGAUAGGAAGGUGUGGAGGUCGCGAAUAAGGGUGGAAGGCUAGUGCGGGUGUGGGUUGUGACUUGUAGUUAGGGAGCUCUUCUGUAGUCGAUUUAGUAACCCUAGGACUGUCCUUUGGUAGGAGCCGCUAGUGUAUUCUACUACUAGGUGAGUGUCCUUGUCUUAUUUCUUAUUUCCUAUUUCUUAUUUUCGUAGUUCGCUUAUUUUCGUGUCGCUCUUAUUUUUAUUAUUAUUGUUUCUUAUUUCUUAGUUUUUGGUUAUGUCACCCAUCUUGUUUCAUGUAUUAAUAUGACCUUGUUAAUUAUUCUUUAUCUAGAGUCGGGGGUCUAUCAGAAACAACCUCUCUACUUCUUUGGAAGUAGCGGUAUGGACUACGUACAUUCUACCCUCCCCAGACCCCACUUGGUGCAAAUACACUGGGUUUGUUGUUGUUGUUGUUGUUGUAAAGAUGCUAAUUAAAUUAAGGUACACAUAAACCUAAGUAUUAUGACUUGGAAACUCACAUAGUAGUACUUGCUACGUUCAGACUACAAAACACAUUGAUUUUCCCUUUUAACUGAAAUGUCAUUGAUCUAGUAGUAAAAUGUUACGAUGAUCCUCUUUCACUUCUUGACAGAAAAAUGAGGAAUCAUGCAAUAAGCUUAUAUCGUUCAACAUUAUUAUUUGCACUGAUUUUGAGUAUUGCUUCUUGAGAAUUAAUUGAAUUCGAUAAGUUCCUCCGGUCUGUAAAUUUAAGUUUAAGCUUUUAACAGCUUUAUAGUUUUUCUAGUUACCAUAUCCCAAAUGUAGCUUCGGUCGUUUUUGCUAUGUUCUUUUUUUUUUCCUUUGAUAUGAAAGUGGCACUAUAUGAUUCAUGUCUUUGGAAAGUGAAACUCAGAACUACACCAUCAUUGGAAUAUAUCAAACAUUUAUUCUAUUGUCAACUCAAUCACAAUAACUUUACAAGGCCAUCAAGCAAUCAAAUUUUAAGAAUUAUAUGAUGAUAUUCAUUUUCCGGGAACAAAAUUUGUGGCGUAGGCCCAGGCAUUGUUGUUAACCGGAUCUGCUAGGUGGUCAGCAAGGUUCUCCAAUGGACCCUUUCCUGUAACAAUGGCCUGAACAAAGAAUCCAAACAUAGAGAACAUAGCAAGUCUACCGUUCUUGAUCUCCUUUACCUUGAGCUCAGCAAAUGCCUCUGGAUCAUCAGCAAGACCUAAUGGGUCAAAGCUGCCACCGGGAUAGAGUGGGUCGACAACCUCGCCAAGAGGCCCACCAGCAAUACGGUAUCCCUCAACGGCUCCCAUCAAGACAACUUGGCAAGCCCAGAUGGCCAAGAUGCUCUGUGCAUGGACCAAACUUGGGUUGCCCAAGUAGUCAAGUCCACCCUCGCUGAAUAUCUGGGAUCCAGCCUUGAACCACACAGCCUCACCAAACUUGACACCAUUACGGGCCAAGAGCUCGGGGAAAACACAUCCAAGAGCACCAAGCAUAGCCCAUCUGCAGUGGAUCACCUCGAGUUCACGGUUCUUGGCAAAGGUUUCUGGGUCUGCUGAAAGUCCAGCGGUGUCCCAACCAUAGUCACCAGGGAAUUCACCGGUCAAGUAGCUUAGGGGCUCACCAGAGAGUGGGCCCAAGUACUUAACACGGUCUGGGCCAUACCAUGGGCUGCUAGAUGGUGCAGACUUGAGAGCCCUUCUCAUAGAGAUUCUUCCAUUUCCAGUGAUUUCUGAGGGAGAGGGUGAGAGUUUCACUGCCUGUCCAGCAAAAGAAGGGGAAGAAAGAGCCAUUGUAGAAGCUGCCAUGGUUUUUCUCAAGAGAAAGGUAAGUGUUUGAUGGUAUGAAAUAUUGUUGAAGUUGGCUGUGAUGAGGUGAAGUUAAUUACAAGGGGCUUCACCAUAUAUAGGAGGAGUAAGAGCGGUAGAGGCCUUUAUCUAACGAUAUCUACAUCUUUUUCUUUUGGUGUUAACGAUAUCUGUAUCUGUGAUCUCAUUGGGUAAUAAGAUCACAUGUGUAGAAAUUAAUGCACACUUGGCAAUCUCCAGACUCCAAUCCAUCAAUUUUCCAAGAUGUUUACUAAAGGGACCCAUCCAAUAUUGUCCUCCUUUGUGUGGAUACGAGGGUAUUGACUCUAUUCUGUGAUUUGUUGAGCUUACAAUAAGAUAUCUCUUAUCGUUAUCCAUUGGGAAUUUCUCCGGAUUUUAUCUAAUAGCUGGGAAUAAGUUACCAACACUAUAGCUCAUUCAAUGUAGAAGUAGAAACUAGAACUAUGUUUUAAGCAUUCCACUAAAUAAAUUGUGGAAAAACUGAAUUUUUUAAAUCAGAUUGUCAGUUACUAAUGUUUAUCAAAAGAUUAAUUUGUAGUAAUUACUUAAUAAGCAAAAGUGGAUCAGAAUUUGAACUUUUAUGGGUUCUGUAGUCUAGGACGACGACCUUAAAUUCUACUAAAUAGUUUCUAAAUUUAACUUUUCUACAUAUUUAAUAAGUUUAUUAAAACAUACAUGGUUUGGGCCAAAGUUAGUUCUGUCAAACCGGUUUGCUGAAGGGUACCUCUGCGCGUCCAUGUUAAUAAGUGAUAUGAUUGUGUUAUGCGUAAGUAUUUUUACAAUGUCAGUGCAUAGCGUCUCUAUAGGGUCGUCUAUACCUUGUAUCUUCUGCUUACAAUGUCCAUUUGGCUCUGAUCAUUGCUAUGUGAACAUGUUCUUCUCUAAAGAUAGUACCGCAUGCAUGUAAGGAAGGAGGACUACACAAGAAAUUCAAGAAUUUGUUCAAAUCUAAGAGGCUAAUUAAAUUAAGGGCACAUUAGUAUAAUGACCUGGAAACUCAUAUAUUACUUGCUACGUUCAUAUUACAAAACAUAUGCAUUGGUUUUCCCCUUAUCAUUUAAAUGUCAAUGGCCUACGUAGUAGUGAAAUAAUAUUAUGUCCUCUUAAUUUAUCUCACUUCUCUACAGGAAAAUAAGGAAUCAUGUAAAUAGCAUCAUGUUGUUCAUUGUUAUUCUUGGCACUAAGAGUAUUGCUUCAUGAGAAUUAAUUGAAUUUCAAGCUUUACCACAUCCAAAUGUAUCUUGGGUUUUUUGUUUUGGCUCUGUCAUCUUUUUUUCUCGCCUUGAUAUGAAACUGGCAGUAUUUUAUUCAUGCCAUUGGCAAAUGAAAUUCAGGACCAUACAAUAGUUGGAAUAUAAGAAAAAUCCAUUCUAUUGUUAAGUAAACUCACAAUUACAACUUUACAAGGACAUCAAACAAUGAAAUUUUAAGAUUGUUUUAUGAUAUUCAUUUUCCAGGAACAAAGUUUGUGGCGUAGGCCCAUGCGUUGUUGUUAACUGGAUCUGCAAGGUGGUCAGCGAGGUUUUCCAAUGGACCCUUUCCGGUAACAAUGGCCUGAACAAAGAAUCCGAACAUAGAGAACAUAGCAAGUCUACCGUUCUUGAUCUCCUUUACCUUGAGCUCAGCAAAUGCCUCUGGAUCAUCAGCAAGACCCAAUGGGUCAAAACUGCCCCGGGGUAUAGUGGGUCGACAACUUCACCAAGAGGCCCACCAGCAAUACGGUAUCCCUCAACGGCUCCCAUCAAGACAACUUGGCAAGCCCAGAUGGCCAAGAUGCUCUGUGCAUGAACCAAGCUUGGGUUGCCCAAGUAGUCAAGUCCACCCUCGCUGAAGAUUUGGGAUCCAGCCUUGAACCACACAGCCUCACCAAACUUGACACCGUUACGGGCCAACAGCUCGGGGAAGACACAUCCAAGGGCACCAAGCAUAGCCCAUCUGCAGUGGAUCACCUCGAGUUCUCGGUUCUUGGCAAAGGUUUCUGGAUCUGCUGAAAGUCCACCGGUGUCCCACCCGUAGUCACCAGGGAAUUCACCGGUCAAGUAGCUUGGGGCCUCACCGGAGAAUGGGCCCAAGUACUUAACACGGUCUGGGCCAUACCAUGGGCUGCCAGAUGAGGCAGGCUUGGUGACAGCCUUUCUCACAGAGAUCCUUCCAUUUCCAGUGAUUUCUGAGGCAGAGGGUGAGAGUUUCACUGCCUGUCCAGCAAAAGAAGGGGAAGAAAGAGCCAUUGUAGAAGCUGCCAUGGCUUAUCUCAAGAGAAAGGUAAGUGUUUGAUGGUAUAAAAUAUUGUUGAAGUUGGUUGUAAGGAUGCUGAAGUUAGUUGGGUUCAGAAUGUAUAGGGGUUAAGUAGAGAGAAAAAAUCCUCUUAUCUAGUGCUGUCUAUAGCUAUGAUUUCAUUGGGUAUCAAGAUCCCAUGUAUAGCAAUUAAUGCACUCUUGGCAAUCUCCAAUCCAUCAAUUUUCCAAGAUGUUCACUAAGGGGAACCCAACCAAUUUUGUCUUCCUAUAUGUGGCUGCAAAGCUUGAAAUCUAUUCUAUGAUUUCUUGAGCUUCAAUAUGAUAUCUCUUAUCCAUUGAGAAUUUCUCAAGAUUUUAUCCACCAGGAGUAUAGCUCAUUCAGUGUAGAACUAUGGCUUAGCAUUUCACUAAUUAAAUUGAGGAAAAGCUGAAAUUCAUUUGUAUCAGAUCAUCAAUUACUAAUGUUUGUCAAAAGAUUAACCUGUAAUUGCUUAAUAAGAAAAGGUGGAUCAAGAAUUGAACUUUAUGAGUUCUGAAAUCCUGGACUAGACCUUAAGUAGUAUAUCCUCCGCCUCAAUUUAUGUGACACAAUUGAAAUUUCGCGAGUCUACCAAGUUUUUUUUUGAUGGAAAUAUCUUUGUAUGUCUUUUAAAUAUUUCAAGUUGUUAAUUAUUGAUAGUAGUACUUUUUGUUUUUAGAUGACCGUGGUGUCCCAUACUUGCCACCUCCCACCAACAUGGGAUUUGAACCUAAAACCUUUGAGGUUCUCAACCCACUUCAUUGACCAUUAGACCUUGGGUGCAUUGUGAUUUACAGUAUUGUUUUAAUAGUUUCCAAGUACAUAGAUUUUAUUUCAAAAAACUUAAAACUUUUGUGUCCAAAUUGACUGUUAAAAGUUUGAAUUUUGAAAUUCCUACCGUGCCACAUAACAGAGGGAGUAAUAAAAAGAUUCUGAAUUUGAUGUACAUACAUAUUUAAUGGUUUUUGUAACACAUAUACAUAAUUUGGGCCAAAGCUACUUGGUUCUAUCAAACAGUAUGCUGAAGGCUACCCCUGCACCUGUUAAUAAGUGAUAUGAUUGUAUUUAGUAUUUUUUAUAAUGUUAAUGCAUAGAACUUAAUUUCCUUUGUAGUAAGUUUCAUGUAUAGCUUACUUUUAUCUUCUUCUUACUAUGUCCUUUUGGCUCUGGUCAUUACUAUGUGCCAUGUUUCGAAGGAUGCCUGCCUCUGUUAAAUAAGCCGUCACACAGGCAUGCAAGGAAGGAAGGAAGAGUAUACAAGAAAUUUAUGGAUUUGUUCAAAUAAAAGAUGCUAAUUAAAUUAACGUACACGUAAACCUAAGUAUUAUGACCUGGAAACUCAUAUAGCAGUACUUGCUACAUUCAGACCACAAAAAUAUUGGUUUUCCCUUUUAACUGAAAUGUCAUUGGUCUAGUAGUAAAAUAAUAUGAUGAUCCUCUUUCACUUCUUGACAGAAAAAUGAGUAAUAAUGUAAUAACAUCAUAUCGUUCAACAUUAUUCUUUGCACUCAUUUUGAGUAUUGCUUCUUGAGAAUUAAUUGAAUUCCAUUAGUUCCUCCGGUCUGAAAAAUGUAAGUUUUAGCUUUUAACAGCUUUAUAACUUUUCUAGUUACCAUAUCCCAAUUGUAGCUUCGGUCUUUUUCUGCUAUGCUCUUCUUCGUUUUUCCUUUGGUAUGAAAGUGGCAAUAUAUGAUUCAUGUCUUUGGAAAGUGAAACUCAGAACUAGACCGUCAAUGGAAAAUAACAAACAUUUAUUCUAUUGUCAACUCACUCACAACAACUUUACAAGGCCAUCAAACAAUCAAAUUUUAAGAAUUAUAUUAUGAUAUUCAUUUUCCAGGAACAAAGUUUGUGGCGUAGGCCCAGGCAUUGUUGUUAACCGGAUCUGCUAGAUGGUCAGCAAGGUUCUCCAAUGGACCCUUUCCUGUAACAAUGGCCUGAACAAAGAAUCCAAACAUAGAGAACAUAGCAAGUCUACCGUUCUUGAUCUCCUUUACCUUGAGCUCAGCAAAUGCCUCUGGAUCAUCAGCAAGACCUAAUGGGUCAAAGCUGCCACCGGGAUAGAGUGGGUCGACAACCUCGCCAAGAGGCCCACCAGCAAUACGGUAUCCCUCAACGGCUCCCAUCAAGACAACUUGGCAAGCCCAGAUGGCCAAGAUGCUCUGUGCAUGGACCAAACUUGGGUUGCCCAAGUAGUCAAGUCCACCCUCGCUGAAUAUCUGGGAUCCAGCCUUGAACCACACAGCCUCACCAAACUUGACACCAUUACGGGCCAAGAGCUCGGGGAAAACACAUCCAAGAGCACCAAGCAUAGCCCAUCUGCAGUGGAUCACCUCGAGUUCACGGUUCUUGGCAAAGGUUUCUGGGUCUGCUGAAAGUCCAGCGGUGUCCCACCCGUAGUCACCGGGAAAUUCACCGGUCAAGUAGCUUGGAGACUCACCUGAGAAUGGACCCAAGUACUUGACACGGUCUGGCCCAUACCAUGGGCUGCCAGAUGAGGCUGGCUUGGAGACAGCCUUUCUCAUAGAGAUCCUUCCAUUUCCAGUGAUUUCUGAGGCAGAGGGUGAGAGUUUCACUGCCUGUCCAGCAAAAGAAGGUGAAGAAAGUGCCAUUGUAGAAGCUGCCAUGGCUUAUCAAGAGAAAAGUAAGUGUUUGAUGGUAUGAAAUAUUGUUGAAGUUGGCUGUGAUGAGGUGAAGUUAAUUGCAAUUAAUGCACUCCUGAGAAUCUCCAAUCUAUCAAUUUUCCAAUAUGUUUAUAAAGGGGGACCUAACCAAUUUUGUCCUCCUAUAUGUGGCUGCAAGGCUUGAAAUCUAUUCUAUGAUUUCUUGAGCUUCAAUAUGAUAUCUUUUAUCCAUUGGGAAUUUCUCAAGAUUUUAUCCACCAUGACUAUAGUUCAUUCAGAGUAGAACUAUGUCUUAGUAUUUCACUAAAUAAAUUGAGGAAAAGCUGAAAUUCAUUUGUAUCAUAUUAUCAAUUACAAAUGUUUGUCAAAGAUUAACCUGUAAUUGCUUAAUAAGAAAAGGUGGAUCAAGAUUUGAACUUUAUGAGUUCAGUUCUGAAAUCUAGGACUAGACCUUAAGUAGUAUACCCUCCGUCCCAAUGUAUGUGGCACAAUUGGAAUUUCGAGAGUCAAUCAAAUUUUUCUUUGAUGAAAAUUCUUUGUCUUUUAAAUAUUUCAAGUUGUUAAUUAUUGUGAUUUGUUGUAGUACUUUUUAUUUUUAGAUAACCGUGGUGUGAGGUAUUUGCCACCUCCCACCAACAUGGGAUUUGAACAUAAGACCUUAAUCCACUUCAUGGACCAUUAAGCCAUAACCUUGGGUGCAUUGUGAUUUAUAGUAUUGUUUACAUAGUUUCCAAGUACAUAAACUUUAUUCUUCAAAAAACUUAAAACUUUUUUGUCUAAAUUGAUUGUCAAAGUUUAAAAGUUUGAGUUUCGAAAUUCUGAUUGUGCCACAUAAAUAAAACAGUGGGAGUAGUAAAUAGAUUCUGAAUUUGAUUUAUAUAUCUAUUUAAUGAUUUUUUUAACACAUAUACAUAAUUUGGAUCAAGGCUACUUGGUUCUGUCAAACAGUAUGCUGAAGGCUACGUCUGCCCCUGUCAAAUAAGUGAUCUAAUUUUAUUAAUAUUUUUUAUAAUGCCAAUGCAUAGAACUUAAUUUCCUUUGUAGUAAGUGUCAUGUAUAUCUACUUUUAUCUUCUUCUUACUAUGUCCUUUUGGCUCUGGUCAUUACUAUGUGCCAUGUUUCGAAGGAUGCCUGCCUCUGUUAAAUAAGCCGUCACACAGGAAUGCAAGGAAGGAAGAGUAUACAAGAAAUUUAUGAAUUUGUUCAAAUUAAAGAUGCUAAUUAAAUUAACGUACACGUAAACCUAAGUAUUAUGACCUGGAAACUCAUAUAGUAGUACUUGCCAGUAGGGCUGGGCAUAUUUUGGUUUAAACCGAAAAAACUGAAAAAUCAAAUCGAAAUUUUAAUUUCGAUUUAGUUUUUCGAUUUCUUGGAUCGGUUUUGAUUUUCAAUUUUUGAAAUUCGGUUAAACGGUUUGGUGUUCAUUUUUUCAAAAAACAAAAAAUUUGGAUAAACCGAUUAACCGAAAUUCUAUAAAUAAUUAAUAAUAUAUAUAUAUAUUAUUUAAUAUAUAAUAAAAUAAUAUAAAUAUAUAAUAGCCACCCUAAUAACUAAUAAGUAAUAGCACGCCACAUACAGCUAAAAACAUACAUCAGUCCAAUAUUAGAACAAUCGAUUGAACCAUCGACCGCCAGCGAGAUCGUCGUCUGUACAACGACACUAGAGCGGGCGACCAGACGACCACUGUGGGCUGCAGCCUGCAGCGCCGUCUGUGGUCUUUCCGGCAGCGACCACUCUUCCGAGUUUCGACUGUUUAUGCAAACUUAUGUUAUUUUCGUUUGUACUUCGGGUACACAGAAUCUGUAUAUGCAGAAACAGCAACUUCAACUAAAGUUCAAGUAUAUAAACAAGAACACAAUGAAGUAUAUCAAAUACCCUCAACACAAGAUCAAAAUGACCUUUCCAAGAGGUGUAUUUUAUUUUUCAGAAAAUAGAUGAAACAGAAAUGAAUAAGACCAAGCAGUCCGAAUUCACGGACUUUCCUUAAGGAAUAAUGCCCCUCACUGUAUCCGAGGUUAUGGAAUCUUCCUCCCAGGAUAAAAUGGCCUUCAAUCCGACUAUAGCGGUACCUCAAAUAAGCGGAUUCUUCAAACACACAGAACGCUUUGAUUGAUCACACAGAAUAUUUGUAAAGAAAAGAAGAGAGUUUUUAUUCUGCAAAAUUUUUAUAUCAAAACCUGUAAAGGUAAGCAGGUUUAUAUAGCCUAGCAAAUGCCUCUUCGAAAAGGUGGCAUUGGUUCACUUAAAUGGUGUGAUAUUUCUGAAAAUGCAUGUCUGCAACAUUUUUGCUGAAGCAGUAUACCAUUUCACCAAACAGUGCACCUGUUCGAAACAGUACAUCACUUCAUUGAAGAAUUGUAUCUGUUCAGUCGAAGCAAAAAUAGUAUAUCAGUUCAGUGCAUGCAUCAGUUCAGUCAAAACGAAACAGUACAUCAGUUCAGUCAAAACAGUGCAUCAUUUCUGUUGAAACAUUGCAUCUAUUACAGUUACUACAUGUAUUUCGUUAAAUAAAGUUUGUCCAAAAAAGAUAGAUCUCAUCGAUCUAUCAUUUUCCAAAUUCGAAUCCAAAUUCGAAGCCGAGAGAGCGACGACGACGACGGCACGAGGCAUCUCUUAUUUCUUGCCUCACUUAUCAUGUGGAGUAAGUAUUCAUCAUUAUAAACACUCCAAAGUUCCCUUCUCCCAUAAAUGUGGGAGAAUUAGUGAACUUUUUAAUUUUGGGAGUAUACUUUCCAAAUUGGUGUCUCCUCUUCUCCACCAUUUUUUUCUCUAUUUUCCAUUCACACUUUUAUGAAACUAACAAUCCCCCACAUGAAUGGGGAAUGGCUAUUUUUUGUAAAAAUUUUACGGACAAGAAUAUGAUCAUCAAGCAAAGACUGAUUUCAUCUGGAUAAGUGGGUUUCCCUUUGAACUUUCCGUAGUGAACAUGCAUCAGAUGCACUCGGUAAAUUGAUAGAUUUGAUAUCUUUGAACCGUCGAGCUUUAAUGUACACCUAGACAACACAUAUCACACAACCAUCCUUUUAACAUUUAUGGUUCUUACAAUUUUGUUCUUUUCAUCCAUGAACACGUCCCGGUUUUCAUGAGGGCUUAGAGAAUAGGCCUUUACUAACAUUCUCCUUGAAGCGGCUUUCACUUCACCCUUACAUAGGUGAUUUCUAAACGUUCUAUCCUGCAGAUUAAAAUAUUUGGUCAAAUCUGCCAAAUUUAGAUAAUCAUUAAAAGACUUUUCACCUUAAGUUUUAUCCUAGUUUACUAUACAUUAUCUACAUCAUGAGAAUGGGUUGGGUAAUUGACAAUGUUGAACCUGUCAGACACAACUUUGUUUGAUCUCCUUUAACCUAGUUGGGAUCGCCAGUCUGCUAGGUAGAGUUAUCGCUAUGCUGACUCGUCCUAGGCCUUAAACCCAUUCUCUUGGAUGUUCUUUCCACUCCUUCUCUAGAUAGGCCUUUUGUAAGUGGAUCCGACACAUUAUCAUUUGACUUUACAUAGUCAAUAAUGAUAAUUCCACUAGAGAGAAUUUCCCUAACGGUAUUAUGUCUCCGUCGUACGUGACGAGAUUUACGGUUGUACAUCAUGCUCCCUGCCCUACCUAUUGCCGCUUGGCUAUCAUAGUGUAUACAUACUGGUGCCACUGGUUUGGGCCAAUACAAAAUAUCUCCCAAGAAAUUUCGGAGCCAUUCUGCUUCUUCACCAGCUUUAUCUAAUGCGAUAAAUUCAGAUUCCAUUGUAGAGCGAGUGAUACAAGUCUGUUUGGAUGAUUUCCAAGAAAUUGCUCCUCCACCGAUAGUAAAUACAUAUCCACUUGUGGAUUUUACUUCGUUCGAUCCGGUGAUCCAAUUUGUAUCACUAUGUCCUUCAAGUACCGCAGGAUAUUUAUUAUAAUGCAAAGCAUAGUUUUGAAUGUAUUUUAAGAUACCCCAAAACUCUUUUCAUUGCCAUCCAAUGAGUUUUGUUGGGAUUACACCUGUACCGACUCAAUUUUGUAGUUGCACAUGCUAUGUCCGGUUGUGUACAGUUCAUUAUAUACAUUAAAAAUCCCAAUACUCUUGCGUACUCCAAUUGUGAAUCACUUUCACCUUCAUUCUUUCGAAGUGCAAAGUUCACGUCCAAUGGAGUCAUGGCAAUACCGAAUUCCAUAUCCUUGAACUUGUCAAGUACUUUUUCGAUAUAAUGAGACUGUGACAAUGCUAACCCUUGUGGAUUUUGAUGGAUUCUUAUACCUAAGAUUACAUCUGCAACUCCAAGGUCUUUCAUAUCAAACUUGCUCUCGAGCAUUCGUUUGAUUGCAUUUAUGUCACAAAUAUAUCUGCUGAUGAUCAACAUAUCAUCCACAUAUAAACAAACAAUGACUUGGUGAUUUGGUGUGUCUUUAAUAUAUAAACAUUUGUCACAUUCAUUUAUCUUGAAUCCAUUUGCCAACAUGGUUUGGUCAAACUUUGCAUAUCAUUGCUUAGGUGCUUGUUUUAGUCCAUAAAGUGACUUAACAAGUUUACACACCUUAUUUUCUUUUCCUGGCACCACAAAACCCUCAGGUUGUUCCAUGUAUAUUUCUUCCUCCAAAUCUCCAUUUAGGAAUGCGUUCUUCACAUCUAUUUGAUGGAUUUGAAAAUCAUAUACCACCACCAAGCCAAUUAACAUUCAAAUCGAGGUUAUCCUUGUUACUGGUGAGUAUGUAUCAAAGUAAUCAAGGCCUUCCUUCUGUUUGAAGCCUUUUACUAUAAGUCUUGCCUUGUAUUUGUCAAUUGUACUAUCUGCCUUCAUUUUUCUUUUGAAGAUCCAUUUAGAACCUAACGGUUUAUUUCCUGGAGAAAGGUCAACCAAUUUCCAUGUAUGGUUGCUUAAGAUUGAAUCUAUCUCACUAUUGACUGCCUCUUUCCAAAAGGAUGAGUCUGACGAUGGCAUCGCUUCUUUAAAUAUUUGAGGCUUAUUUUCUUAGAGAAAUGUUACAAAAUCUGAUCCAAAUGAAGUUGACAUUCUUUGAUGUGUACUAUGUCUUGGAUUUUCUUCAUUAUGUACAUUCUCACUUGGUUCAUCUCGAGGUCGCUUAGAUCCUCCACUAAACUGUUCAUGUCUAAUUUUAUACGGGUAAAUAUUUUUAAAGAAUUCAGCAUUGUCUGAUUCAAUAAUUGUAUUUUCAUUAAUAUCCGAAUGUUUGAAUUUAUGAACCAAAAAUCGACAUGCUUUACUACUUUUAGCAUAUCCUAUGAACACACAGUCCACUGUUUUAGGUCCUAUCUUAACCCUUUUAGGUACAGGAACUUGAACCUUCACUAGACACCCCCACACUUUGAAAUAUUCAAGCUGGGUUUCCUUCUUUUCCAUUUUUCGUAAGGAAUUGAUUGUGUCUUACUAUGGAAAACUCUGUUGAGUAUACGAUUGGCCAUAAGAAUAGCCUCCCAUCAUAAGUUUUGUGGUAAAGCAGAACUUAUAAGUAAGGCAUUCAUCAUUUCCUUCAAAUUUCGUUUUUUCCUUUCCGCAAUUCCAUUAGAUUGAGGUGAAUAUGGGGCCGUAGAUUGAUGGAUUAUUCCAUUCUCUACACAUAUUUGCGCAAAGGGAGAUUUAUAUUCUCCGCCCCUAUCACUUCUUAUCAUUUUGAUCUUUUUNNNNNNNNNNNNNNNNNNNNNNNNNNNNNNNNNNNNNNNNNNNNNNNNNNNNNNNNNNNNNNNNNNNNNNNNNNNNNNNNNNNNNNNNNNNNNNNNNNNNNNNNNNNNNNNNNNNNNNUAAACGCAUCUAUUGCUUCAUCCUUACUAUUUAUCGAGUAGACAUAACAGUAUCUAGUGCAAUCGUCAAUAAAAGUUAUGAAAUAUUUUUUCCCACCACGAGAUGGUGUUGACGUUAUAUCACAAAUGUCAGUGUGUAUUAAGUCUAAGGGAUUGGAAUUCCUUUCAACGGACUUAUAAGGAUGCUUUGCAUACUUCGAUUCCACACACGUUUGACACUUUGAUUUAUUGCACUCAAAGUUUGGCAAAACUUCUAAGCUAAUCAGUUUUCAUAACGUUUUAUAAUUAACAUGGCCUAAACAUUCAUGCCAUAAUAAGACUCAAGAAAAUAAGAAGAAUUCAAACUUUUAUUUAUUUCAACAGUCAUUACAUUCAUCUUAUAAAGUCCUUCGGUCAAAUAGCCUUUUCCUACAUACAUUUAUCCUUUGCUAAUUACAAUUUUUUCAGAAACGGUUACACAUUUGAAUCCGUUCUUGUCUAGAAGUGAAACAGAAAUUAAAUUCCUACGUAAAUACGGAACAUACAAGACAUUGUUAAGUGUCAAGACCUUUCCGGAAGUCAUAUUUAAGAAAAUUUUUCCUAUUCUUUCUACCUUAGCCGUAGCGGAGUUAGCCAUGUAGAUCAUUUCUUCUACUUGAGCAGAAGCAAAUAACGAAAACAGCUCCUUGUUGGCACAUACAUGGCGGGUGGCACCAGAAUCCAUCCACCCUUCACUAGGAUUCCCCGUCAAGUUGCAUUCUGAGAACAUAGCACACAGAUCAUCGAAUUCUUUGUUGGAUUCAAUCAUAUUUGCUUGAUCCUUCUUCUUUCCUUUCUUUGGGGCACGACAAUCUGUGGACUUGUGGCCAAUCUUGCCACAGUUGAAGCAUUUUCCCUUGAACUUUUUCUUGGUUUGAUUGCUUCCUUGUUUAGCUUUCUUCCUUUUCUUGAAAUUGUUUUGGUCAUCUUCUACAAUAUGUGCUCCAUUAAUUGUAGAAUUCCUCUUUGACCUUCUUUCGGAAGCUUUAUUAUCCUCUUCAAUACGAAGUCGGACAAAAAGUUCUUCAACAGUCAUCUCCUUGCGUUUAUGCUUUAAGUAGUUUUUGAAGUCUUUCCACAAAGGUGGUAGCUUCUCAACUAUCACUGCUACUUGGAAAUCAUCAUUCACAAUUAAACCUACAAUACAGUUUAUGUGAGUAUUAAGAACAUUUUUAAUUUGUUCAACUAAGGUAUUUUUCAAAGAUAUACCUUCUGCUAAGAGAUCAUGUAUGAUGACUUGCAACUCCUNNNNNNNNNNNNNNNNNNNNNNNNNNNNNNNNNNNNNNNNNNNNNNNNNNNNNNNNNNNNNNNNNNNNNNNNNNNNNNNNNNNNNNNNNNNNNNNNNNNNNNNNNNNNNNNNNNNNNNNNNNNNNNNNNNNNNNNNNNNNNNNNNNNNNNNNNNNNNNNNNNNNNNNNNNNNNNNNNNNNNNNNNNNNNNNNNNNNNNNNACAUAAAGUGGUGAGGUAAAAGAACAUCUUUUGCUGCCACCGCUUGAAGUCAAUGCUUGAAAAUAUUUUGGGCUACUCCGUCAGUGCCAUUGUUGGCGGAGCAUUUGUGUGACUUGAUGUGGCAAUAUUAGUUACCCCCAUAGACGUUGUCGCAUCUAUUAUUUCACUUUCGUUAGUCAUCUUUCCUGUCAACACAAGACAGAAAAAUUUAGUAUUUUCAGAAUAUUACUUAUAAAGUUAAAUAACUUUUCAACUUUUCUUCUUGUUUCUAAUUAACGACGAAGCUUUUAUAACUUCAAAUCGUCAACUGAGUGAACUUUAACUUGUGAUGAAGAUUUUAUGUCUUCUAAUCACUAGUUAAAUUCAAGCGGAGUAAAAAGUUUAAAGCUUUAAUCUCCAAAAACAAGUUAUACAGAUUCUGUAAAAGGAAUUAUUCCUUAAGAUUCUUAUUUUUGUUUUACUUUGGGUACACAGAAUUUGUAUAUGCAGAAACAACAACUUCAACUAAAGUUCAAGUUUAUAAACAAGAACACAAUGAAGUAUAUCAAAUACCCUCAACACAAGAUCAAAAUGACCUUUCCAAGAGGUAUAUUUUAUUUUUUAGAAAAUAGAUGAAACAGAAAUGAAUAAGACCAAGUCGUCCGAAUUCAUGGACUUUUCUUAAGGAUUAAUUCCCCUCACUGUAUCCGAGGUUAUGGAAUCUUCCUCCCAGGAUAAAAUGGCCUUCAAUCCGACUAUAGCGGUACCUCAAAUAGGCGGAUUCUUCGAACACACAGAACGUUUUGAUUGAUCACACAGAAUCUUUGUAAAGAAAAGAAGAGAGUUUUUAUUCUGAAAAUUUUUUAUAUCAAAACCUGUGAAGAAAAGCAUGUUUAUAUAGCCUAGCAGAUGCCUCUUCAAAAAGGUGGCAUUUGUUCACUUAAAUGGUGUGAUGUUUCUGAAAAUGCAUGUCUGCAGCACUUUUACUGAAGCAGUAUACCAUUUCACCAAAUAGUGCACCUGUUCAAAAUAGUACAUCACUUCAUUAAAGAAUUGCAUCUGUUCAGUCGAAGCAAAAACAGUAUAUCAGUUCAGUGCAUGCAUCUGUUCAGUCGAAAAGAAAUAGUACAUCAGUUUAGUCAAAAUAGUGCAUCAAUUCUGUCGAAACAUUGCAUCUGUUACUAUUACUAAAUGCAUAUAAAUGGAGUAUUUAUCAGAUUUCAUCAAAUAAAAUUUAUCCAAAAAGACAGAUAUCAUCGAUCGAUCAUUUUCCAAAUCCAAAUCCAAAUCUGAAGUCGAGCGACCGACGACAACAGUGGCGCGAGGAAUCUCUUAUUUCUUGCCUCACUUAUCAUGUGGAGUAAGUAUUCAGCAUUAUAAACACUCCAAAGUUUCUUUCUCCCACCAAUGUGGGAGAAUUAGUGAACUUUCCAAUUUUGGGAGUACACUUUCCAAAUUGGUGUCUCCUCUUCUCCAUAAUUUUUUUCUCCAUUUUCCAUUCACACUUCUAUGAACCCAACAAUCCCCCAUAUGAAUGGGGAAUAUAUAUUUUUCGUAAAACUUUUACGGACAAGAAUGUGAUCAUCAAGCAAAGACUGAUUCCAUCUGGAUAAGUGGGUUUCCCUUUGAACUUUCCGUAGUGAACAUGCAUCGGAUGCACUCGGUCAAUUGGUAGAUUUGAUAUCUUUGAACCGUUGAGCUUUAAUGUACACCUAGAUAACACAUGUCACACAACCAUCCUUUAACGUUUAUGGUUCUAACAAUUUUAUUCUUUUCAGUCAUGAACACGUCCCGGUUUUCAUGAGAGCUUAGAGAAUAGGCCUUUACUAAUAUUCGCCUUGAAGCAGCUUCCACUUCGCCCUCACAUAAGUGAUUUCUAAACGUUCAAUCCUGUAGAUUAAACUAUUUGGUCAAAUCUGUCAAAUUUAGAUAAUCAUUAAAAGACUUUUCACCUUAAGUCUUAUCCUAGUUUACUAUACAUUGUCUACAUCAUGAGAAUGGGUUGGGUAAUUGACAAUGUUGAACCUGUCAGACACGACUUUGUUUGAUCUCCUUGAACCUAGCUCUUGGGAUCUCCAGUCUGCUAGAUAGAGUUACCGCCACGUUGACUCAUCCUAGGCCUUAAACCCAUUCCCUUGGAUGUUCUUUCCACUCCUUAUCUAGAUAGGCCUUUUGUAAGUGGAUCCAACACAUUAUCCUUUAACUUUACAUAGUUAAUAGUGAUAAUUCCACUAGAGAGAAUUUCCCCAACGGUAUUAUGUCUCCGUCGUAUGUGAUGAGAUUUAUGGUUGUACAUCAUGCUCCCUGCCCUACCUAUUGCCGCUUGGCUAUCACAGUGUAUACAUACUGGUGCCACUGGCUUGGGCCAAUACAAAAUAUCUCCCAAGAAAUUUCGGAGCCAUUCUGCUUCUUCACCAGCUUUAUCUAAUGCGAUAAAUUCAGAUUCCAUUGUAGAGCGAGUGAUACAAGUCUGUUUGGAUGAUUUCCAAGAAACUGCUCCUCCACCGAUAGUAAAUACAUAUCCACUUAUAGAUUUUACUUCGUUUGAUCCGGUGAUCCGAUUUGCAUCACUAUGUCCUUCAAGUACCGCAGGAUAUUUAUUAUAAUACAAAACAUAGUUUUGAAUGUAUUUAAGAUACCCCAAAACUCUUUUCAUUUUCAUCCAAUGAGUUUUGUUGGGAUUACUCCUAUACCGACUUAAUUUACUAAUUGCACAUGCUAUGUCUGGUCGUGUAUAGUUCAUUAUAUACAUUAAACAUCCCAAUACUCUUGCAUAUUCCAAUUAUGAGUCAUUUUCACCUUCAUUCUUUUGAAGUGCAAAGUUCACAUCCAAUGGAGUCUUGACAAUACCGAAUUCCAUAUCCUUGAACUUGUCAAGUAAUUUUUUGAUAUAAUGAGACUAUAACAAUGCUAACCUUUGUGGAUUUUGAUGGAUUCUUAUACCUAAGAUCACAUCUGUAACUCUAAGGUCUUUCUUAUCAAACUUGCUCUAGGGCAUUCGUUUGGUUGCAUUUAUGUCACAAAUAUCUCUGCUGAUGAUCAACAUAUCAUCCACAUAUAAACAAACAAUGACUUGGUGAUUUGGUGUGUCUUUAAUAUAUAAACAUUUGUCACAUUCAUUUAUCUUGAAUCCGUUCGCCAACAUGAUUUGGUCAAACUUUGCAUGCCAUUGCUUAGGUGUUUGUUUUAGUCCAUAAAGUGACUUAACAAGUUUACAUACCUUAUUUUUUUUUUCUGAAACCAUAAAACCUUCAGGUUGUUCCAUGUAUAUUUCUUCCUCCAAAUCUCCAUUUAGGAAUGCGGUCUUUACAUCCAUUUAAUAGAUUUGAAGAUCAUAUACCGCCGCCAAGGCAAUUAACAUUCGAAUCAAGGUUAUCCUUGUUACUGGUGAGUAUGUAUCAAAGUAAUCAAGGCUUUCUCUUUCUGUUUGAAGCCUUUUACUACAAGUCUUGCCUUGUAUUUGUCAAUAGUACCAUCCGCCUUCAUUUUCCUUUGGAAGAUCCAUUUAGAACCUAACGGUUUAUUUUCGGGAAGAAGGUCAACCAAUUUCUAUGUAUGGUUGCUUAAGAUUGAAUCUAUCUCACUAUUGACUGCCUCUUUCCAAAAGAAUGAGUCUGACGAUGGCAUCGCUUCUUUAAAUGUUUGAGGCUUAUUUUCUUAGAGAAAUGUUACAAAAUCUGAUCCAAAUGAAGUUGACGUUCUUUGACGUGUACUACGUCUUGGAUUUUCUUCAUUAUGUACAUUCUCACUUGGUUCAUCUCGAGGUCGUUUAGAUCCUUCACUAGACUGUUCAUGUCUAAUUUAUACGAAUAAAUAUUUUUAAAGAAUUCAGCAUUAUCUGAUUCAAUUAUCGUAUUUUCAUUAAUAUCCGGAUGUUUGGAUUUAUGAACCAUAAAUUGACAUGCUUUACUAUAUUUAGCAUAUCCUAUGAACACACAGUCUACCAUUUUAGGUCCUAUCUUAAUCCUUUUAGGUAUAGGAACUUGAACCUUCGCUAGACACCCCCACACUUUAAAAUAUUCAAGUUGGGUUUCCUUCCUUUCCAUUUUUUUUAAGGAAUUGAUUGUGUCUUACUAUGAGGAACUCUGUUGAGUACACGAUUGGCCAUAAGGAUAGCCUCCCAUCAUAAGUUUUGUGGUAAACCAGAACUUAUAAGUAAAGCAUUUAUCAUUUCCUUCAAAGUUUGGUUUUUCCUUUCCGCAAUUCCAUUAGAUUGAGGUGAAUAUAGGACCAUAGUUUGAUGGAUUAUUCCAUUCUCUACACAUAUUUGCGCAAAGGGAGAUUCAUAUUCUCCGCCCCUAUCACUUUUUAUUAUUUUGAUCUUUUUGUCUAAAUGAUUUUCAACUUCAGUUUUAAUUGCCUAAAUGCAUCUAUUUCUUCAUCCUUACUAUUUAGCAAGUAGACAUAACAAUAUCUAGUGCAAUCGUCAAUACAAGUUAUGAAACAUUUUUUCCCACCACGUAAUGGUGUUGACUUCAUAUCACAAAUGUCAGUGUGUAUUAAGUCUAAGGGAUUAGAAUUUCUUUCAACGAACUUAUAAGGAUGCUUUGCAUACUUUGAUUCCACACACGUUUAACACUUUGAUUUAUUACACUCAAAGUUUGGCAAAACUUCUAAGUUAAUCAAUUUUCGUAACGUUUUGUAAUUAGCAUGGCCUAAACGUUCAUUCCAUAAAUCAUAACACUCAAGCAAAUAAGAAGAAUUCAAACUUUUAUUUAUUUCAACAGUCAUUACACUCAUAUUAUAAAGGCCUUCGGUCAGAUAGCCUUUUCCUACAUACAUUUCUCCUUUGCUCAUUACAAUUUCUCCAUAAAUGGUUACACAUUUGAAUUCGUUCUUCUCUAGAAGUUAAACAGAAAUUAAAUUCCUACGUAAAUACGGAACAUACAAGACAUUGUUAAGUGUCAAGACCUUUCCGAAAGUCAUAUUUAAUCAAAUUUUUCCUAUUCUUUCUACCUUAGCCGUAGCGGAGUUAGCCAUGUAGGGAGCGAAUGACGAAAACAACUCCUUGUUGGCACAUACAUGGCGGGUGGCACCAGAAUCCAUUCACCAUUCGCAAAGAUUCCCCAUCGAGUUGCAUUCUGAGAACAUAGCACACAGAUCAUCGCAUUCUUUAUUGGAUUCAAUCAUAUUUGCUUGAUCCUUCUUCUUGCCUUUCUUUGGGGCACGACAAUCUGUGGACUUGUGGCCAAUCUUGUCACGGUUGAAGCAUUUUCCCUUGAACUUUUUCUUAGGUUGAUUGCUUCCUUAUUCAGCUUUCUUCCUUUUCCUGAAAGUAUUUUAGUCAUCUUCUACAAUAUGUGCUCCAUUAAUUGUAGAAUUCCUCUUUGACCUUCUUUCGGCAGCUUUAUUAUCCUCUUCAAUACGAAGUUGGACAAUAAGAUCUUCAAUAGUCAUCUCUUUGCGUUUAUGCUUUAAGUAGUUUUUGAAGUCUUUCCACAAAGGUUGUAGUUUCUCAAAUAUCAUUGCUACUUGAAAAGCAUCAUUCACAAUUAAACCUACAAAAUAGUUUAUGUGAGUAUUAAGAACAUUUUUAGUUUGUUCAACUAAGGUAUUUUUCAAAGAUAUACCUUCUGCUAAGAGAUCAUGUAUGAUGACGUGCAACUCCUGUACUUGAGAGACAAAAGAUUUGCUAUCUAUUAUUUUGAAGUCCAAGAACUGUGCAACAAGAAAUUUUUUAAUUCCCGCAUCCUCCGUCUUAUAUUUUCGUUCAAGCGCCCCCCACAGUUCCUUUGAUGUCUUGGUUCCACUAUAAACAUUGUAGAGGUCGUCUUGGAAACUACUCAAAAUAUAAUUCCUGCAAAGAAAGUCCGAAUGUUUCCAAGCUUCUACAAUAACGAAGCGUUCUUUGUCCGAGGUUCCCUCGGGCACCUCAGGAGCGUCUUCGCUAGUGAACCAUUGCAAACAUAAAGUGGUGAGGUAAAAGAACAUCUUUUGCUGCCACCGCUUGAAGUCAAUGCUUGAAAAUAUUUUGGGCUACUCCGUUGGUGCCAUUGUUGGCGGAGCAUUUGUGUGACUUGAUGUGGCAAUAUUAGUUACCCCCAUAGACGUUGUCGCAUCUAUUAUUUCACUUUCGUUAGUCAUCUUUCCUGUCAACACAAGACAGAAAAAUUUAGUAUUUUCAGAAUACUACUUAUAAAGUUAAAUAACUUUUUAACUUUUCUUCUUGUUUCUAAUUAACACUGAAGUUUUUAUAACUUCAAAUCGUCAACUGAGUGAACUUUAACUUGUGAUGAAGAUUUUAUGUCUUCUAAUCACUAGUUAAAUUCAAGCGGAGUAAAAAGUUUAAAGCUUUAAGCUCCAAAAACAAGUUAUACAGAUACUAUAAAAGGAAUUAUUCCUUAAGAUUCUUAUUUUCGUUUAUACUUCGGGUACACAGAAUCUGUAUAUGCAGAAACAACAACUUCAACUAAAGUUCAAGUAUAUAAACAAGAACACAAUGAAGUAUAUCAAAUACCCUCAACACAAGAUCAAAAUGAUCUUUCCAAGAGGUAUAUUUUAUUUUUCAGAAAAUAGAUGAAAGAGAAAUGAAUAAGACCAAGUCGUCCAAAUUCACGGACUUUACUUAAGGAAUAAUUUCCCUCAUUGUACUCGAGGUUAUGGAAUCUUCCUCCCAGGAUAAAACGGCCUUCAAUCCUACUAUAGCGGUACCUCAAAUAGGCGGAUUCUUUGAACGCACAGAACGUUUUGAUUGAUCACACAGAAUAUUUGUAAAUAAAAGAAGAGAGUUAUUAUUUUGAAAAUUUUUAUAUCAAAACCUGUGAAGGAAAGCAUGUUUAUAUAGCCUAGCAGAUGCCUCUUCGAAAAGGUGGCAUUUGUUCACUUAAAUGGUGUGAUGUUUCUGAAAAUGCAUGUCUGCAGCACUUUUGCUGAAGCAGUAUACCAUUUCACCAAAUAGUGCACCUGUUCAAAAUAGUACAUCACUUCAUUAAAGAAUUGCAUCUGUUCAGUCGAAGCAAAAACAGUAUAUCAGUUCAGUGCAUGCAUCUGUUCAGUCGAAAAGAAAUAGUACAUCAGUUCAGUUGAAAUAAUGCAUCAGUUUUGUCGAAACAUUGUAUCUGUUACUGUUACUAAAUGCAUAUAAAUGGAGUAUUGAUCAGAUUUCAUCAAAUAAAGUUUGUCCAAAAAGAUAGAUCUCAUUGAUCGAUCAUUUGACAAAUCCAAAUCCAAAUCCGAAGCUGAAGCCGAGCGAACGAUGACGAUGACGACGCGAGGCAUCUCUUAUCAUGUGAAGUAAGUAUUCAUCAUUAUAAACACUCUAAAUUUUCCUUCUCCCACCAAUGUGUGAGAAUUAGUGAACUUUUUAAUUUUGGGAGUACACUUUCCAAAUUGGUGUCUCCUCUUCUCCACCAUUUUUUUCUCUAUUUUCCAUCCACACUUCUAUGAACCCAACAAUCCCCCACAUGAAUGGGGAAUGACUAUUUUUCAUAAAUCUUUUAUGGACAAGCAUGUGAUCAUCAAGCAAAAACUAAUUCCAUCUGGAUAAGUGGGUUUUCCUUUGAACUUUCCGUAGUGAACAUGCAUCGGAUGCACUCGGUCAAUCGGUAGAUUUGAUAUCUUUGAAUCUUCGAGCUUUAAUGUACACCUAGACAACACAUAUCACACAACCAUCCUUUUAACAUUUAUGGUUCUUACAAUUUUGUUCUUUUCAGCCAUGAACACGUCCCGAUUUUCAUGAGAGCUUAGAGAAUUGGCUUUUACUAACAUUCUCAUUGAAGCAUCAUCCACUUCGCCCUCACAUAGGUGAUUUCUAAAUGUUCAAUUCUGUAGAUUAAACUAUUUGGUAAAAUCUGUCAAAUUUAGAUAAUCAUUAAAAGACUUUUUACCUUAAGUCUUAUCCUAGUUUACUAUACAUUGUCUACAUCAUGAGAAUGGGUUGGGUAAUUGACAAUGUUGAACCUGUCAGACACAACUUUGUUUGAUCUCCUUGAACUUAGCUCUUGGGAUCUCCAGUCUGCUAGGUAGAGUUACCGCCAUGCUAACUCGUCCUAGGCCUUAAACCCAUUCCCAUGGAUGUUCUUUAGCCUAGUAGAUGCCUCUUCAAAAAGGUGGCAUUGGUUCACUUAAAUGGUGUGAUGUUUCUGAAAAUGCAUGUCUACAGCAUUUUUGCUGAAGCAGUAUACCAUUUCACCAAACAGUGCACCUGUUCGAAACAGUGCAUCACUUCAUUGAAGAAUUGCAUCUGUUCAGUCGAAACAGAAAUAGUAUAUCAGUUCAGUGCAUGUAUCAGUUCAGUCGAAAAGAAAUAGUACAUCAGUUCAGUCAAAACAGUGCAUCAGUUUUGUCGAAAUAUUGCAUCUGUUAUUGUUACUGCAUGCAUAUAAAUAAAGUAUUAUCGAAAAAGAUAGAUCUCAUCGAUCAUUUUCCAAAGCCAAAGCCGAGCGAGCGACGACGACGACAGAGCGAGGCAUCACUUAUUUCUUGCCUCACUUAUCAUGUAGAGUAAGUAUUCAUCAUUAUAAACACUCCAAAGUUCCUUUCUCCCAGCAAUGUGGGAGAAUUAGUGAACUUUCCAAUUUUGGGAGUACACUUACCAAAUUAGUGUCUCCUCUUCUCCACCAUUUUUUUCUCCAUUUUCCAUUCACACUUCUAUGAACCCAACAACUUAUACAUAAUAAAGUUAUAUAUUAUGUUAAACUAAUGGUUAUAUCAUUUAAUUUCAUCUAUGUUGAGUUAUUUAUAUUUGGAAAUGAAAAAUAGGUUUGAAAAUAAUUAUUUUAUAAGAAAAAUCAUUAAUUUUAAAUGUCCAGUCAUAACAAAGAGGGGUUCACUAGUUUAAUCUUCAAAAUAAAAAUAAAAAUCUGAAAUAAUCGAACCGAAUUUGUAGAAACCGGACCGAACCGAAUUUAUUUCGGUUUGAUUACGGUUGUCAUUUUUGUCAAUUCAAAAAUCGAAAAACCAAACCGAUAUUAAACUAUCAAACCGAACGAACCAAAUGUCCAUCCCUUCUUCCCAGGGGCGAACCUACGUAGAUUCAAGUGGAUUCAUAUGAGCCCACUUCGUCGAAAUAUCACACCGUAUGUAUCAAUGUUUGAAAAUGUACAAGAUAUAUAUUAAUUUUUUAACCCAUUUUAAAUAGCUCAGCCUAGUGGAAAGGCGGGUUCAAGAUUUUUGAUAGGUCAAACUUUCCGACACCAACAACCUUUUUGUUAAAUGUCAGAUAAUUUUUUCUUUCUAAUUUUUUUUUAUUAUAAUAUAACUUUAAAAUUUAUUUAAUCAAAAUUUGUUUAUUUAUUUCUCUGGGUAUUCAUUUUUUAUAUAUUUGAACCCACUUUCCUGAGCAGAAUCUAUGUUGCUAUUAUUGUAUAUUUGAACCCGCCACUGGUACUUGCUAUGUUCAGACUACAAAACAUAUUGGUGUUCCCUUUUAACUGAAAUGUCAUUGCUCUAGUAGUAAAAGGUCAAAGUCAUCAAUAGACACUCAAACUUAUUGUCAAAAUUCACUUAGACACCUAAACUAAGGCAUGUUCCUAUCAGGCCCCUAAACCCCCCACAUUUUGUUCAAAUUGGGUUUUUUUUGCCCUAUCAGCAAAAAACUCAAAGUGUGUUGCACACAAGCGAUGACAUGGCAAAAUGAGCUAAUUAGAAGCUGACACGUGGCAUUAUGGGUCCAAUAAUUAUUAAAAAUUAAUUAUAAUUUUAAAAAAAAAAAGUAUAUACAAAUGGCAUUGAAUAAAUUAUUAAAAAAUAAUUCUAAAAUUAUUUAAAAAUAAAACUGAUUAUUUAAAAAAAAUUAUAAAAAUUUUCUAAAAAUGAAAUAAAUUAUUAAAAAAUUAUUUUAAAAAACAAUUAAUUAAUAAGAAAAAUUAUAAUUUUUUUUUAAAAAUGGCGAGGAUAUAAAUUAUGAAAAAAUAAUUAUAAAAUUAUUUGAAAAAUAAAAAUAAAAAAUUAAUUAUUUUAAAAAAAUAUAAAUUUUUUAAAAAAUGAAAUAAAUUAUUAAAAUAUUAUUUAAAAAAUAAAAACUUAAUUAUUAAAAAAAAUAAAAUUUUUUAAAAAUUGAAAAUGAAAAAUGGCAUAGAGGAUAUAAAUUAUGAAAAAAUAAUUAUAAAAUUAUUUUUUAAAAAAACUAAUUAUAAAAUUAUUUUUUAAAAAAACUAAUUAUUAAAAAGAAAUCUUAAAUUUUUUUAAAAGAUGAAAAUAAAGAAUUAAUUUUUUUUAAAAUUCAGUUUAUUAAAAAUAAAAUAAAAUUGGGGCCUUCUAAUGCUUUUUGGGGCCUUUAGUGUUUCAAAAAAAAAAGAAAAUUUGUUAUUAAAAAAAUUUUGGGGCCCUCAAUGCCACUUGACAACUUUUUAUUCGUAAAUUAGUAAAAAAAAAUGCUCCUCACACGCCUUCCACAAUGGCACUGCACACGUAGUGUCACAUAGGCAAAAAAUGUCUAAUUGGAACAAAAUUCAGGGAUUUAAUGGUCUGAUAUGAACAUGUCUUAGUUUAGGGGUCUAAUUGAAUUUUUGCAAUAAGUUUGAGUGUCUAUCGAUGAGUUUGACCUUUUCAAAUUGACACAUGCGUAACCAAUUCUCUAAAUACCAAUUAUUUCUCCUUCAAGUGAUGUCAUCUUCCACAUGGUGGACCCCAUGAUCCUAAGAAUUAUUUAAAAAAUAAAAAAAUAAUUAUUAAAAAUAAAUUAUAAAUUUUUUAAAAAAAUAAAAAUCCCCCACCUAUCCCAGCCCCCAACGUAUUGUUUUAUUAAAAAAAAAAAUUGGAACCCCCUAAUGCUUUUUGUUUUAUUAAAAAGUGUCUUUAGUGUUUAAAAAAAAAUUGUUAUUAAAAAAAUUUUGGGGCCCUCAAUGCCACUUGGCAUCUUUUUAUUUGUAAAUUAGUAAAAAAAAUUGCUCCUCACACGCCUCCCACGAUGGCACUGCACGCGUAGUGCCACAUAGGCAAAAAAGGCCCAAUUGAAACAAAAUGUGGGGGGUUUAGGGGUCUGAUAGAAACAGGCGUUAGUUUAGGUGUCUAAGUGAAUUUUGACAACAAGUUUGAGUGUCUAUCGAUGUCUUUGGCCAGUAGUAAAAUAAUAUGAUGAUCCUCUUUCAUUUCUUGAUAGAAAAAUGAGGAAUCAUGUAAUAACAUCAUAUCGUUCAACAUUAUUCUUUGCACUAAUUUUGAGUAUUAUGUUAAGGUUUUUAAACUGAUUUUCUUAUCAAAAUUAAGUUUUACUUUUUUCUUGUAAGGAAAAUAAAAGUAAUCAUAAAUAUUUUUACUUUUCAUAAAAGAAAAUAUAAAACUUUUUCAUAUUUGGCAAACCUCUUUCUUAGAGGAAGGUUUUGGACAUCUAUAAGAAUUAAGAUCCCCUCUUCAUACCAUAACAUUGUAACAUUCUCAAUGUAGUCAUUGAAGAGUCUUUGUUUAUGAGUGAUUUCUCUCAAUAGGUUUAAUGUUUUUCGAUAUUAGGUUUUAUAAUAUGCAGGCCGAUUGGCCAAAACAUAUAAUAAUUUUAUGUUUUUUAAUAUUGUUUUCUUUGUCGCCUGAUUUAUCAUCUCAUAGUUUGCAACUAAUAGCUUCCGCAUGACAUCCUCUCGUUUUUGAACCCAACAAAUGGUAUCAGAGUCGAUGGUUCAAAGAUCCGAUGGUUCGAUUGAGGACUUUUUAAGAUCAAAGUUGCAAUCAAUUUGGCGAUGAUGAAGCUUUUGUCAAAAAAAAAAAAAAAGGUUCAAAAACUACAUGUGGAGAAAAAGUUUCAAACAAAAUUUCAACAAUCUUGGUGCUAAUCCAUCUUUAAAACCAAAAUCAAUUUCAACUCAUAUUUAUGACUUCAAUUUUCAAUCUAUACUUGCUUUAACGCUUGGGCUCCUUUCAACUCGUGCAUUUAUUUUUAAUGCAUGAGCUCCACUCUUAACCUGUGCUCACUUUCAAUGCACAAAGUUCUACUUUCAAUCUUAUCAACCGUGCUUUUAUUUUUAAUGCAUAGGACUCUAAUUUUAACCCAUAUCAAUUUUUAAUCAUGGUUGACAGCAGUGAUAUAUGAAGAAUAUAUGAAAAACGAAGAUCAUGCACAAGAAAAAGGAGGAUCAAGAAUAUUUUGCAGAAAAUCAAGCAAAAAAGGGAGAUUUGUUAGGGUUUUUACUCUAAUUUUCUUACCAAAAUUAAGUUUUACUUUUUCUUAUAAAAAAAUAAAAGUAAUCAUAAAUACUUUUAUUUUUGUUAAAAGAAAAAUAUAAAACUUUUCUAUAUUUGGCAAACCUCUUUCUUGGAGGAAAGGUUCUGGACAUUAGGAUACUCUUCUCAUGCCAUAAUACGGUAGCAUCCACAAUGUAGUCAUUGAAGAGUUUUGUUUAGGGAAAUUUAAUGUUUUUUCGAUAUUAGAUUUUAUAAUAUGCAGGCCGAUUGGCCAUAACAUAUAAUAAUUUUAUACUUUUUAGUGUUAUUUUCUUUGUCACCUGAUUUAUCGUCCCAUAAUUUGCAACUAAUAGCUUCCGCAUGACGCUCUCUCGAUUACGAUCCCAACAUAUUGUUUCUUGAGAAUUAAUUGAAUUCCAUAAGUUCCUCCGGUCCGUAAAUUUAAGUUUUAAGAUUUUAACAGCUUUAUAGUUUUUCAGUUACCAUAUCCCAAAAUGUAGCUCCGGUCGUUUCUGCUAUGCUCUUUUUUUUUUUUUUUUCCUUUGGUAUGAAAGUGGCAAUAAAUGAUUCAUGUCUUUUGAAAGUGAAACUAAGAACUAGACCGUCAUUGGAAAAUAACAAACAUUUAUUCUAUUGUCAACUCACUCACAACAACUUUGCAAGGCCAUCAAACAAUCAAAUUUUAACAAUUAUAUUAUGAUAUUCAUUUUCCGGGAACAAAGUUUGUGGCGUAGGCCCAGGCAUUGUUGUUAACCGGAUCUGCUAGAUGGUCAGCAAGGUUCUCCAAUGGACCCUUUCCUGUAACAAUGGCCUGAACAAAGAAUCCAAACAUAGAGAACAUAGCAAGUCUACCGUUCUUGAUCUCCUUUACCUUGAGCUCAGCAAAUGCCUCUGGAUCAUCAGCAAGACCCAAUGGGUCAAAGCUGCCACCGGGAUAGAGUGGGUCGACUACCUCACCAAGAGGCCCACCAGCAAUACGGUAUCCCUCAACGGCUCCCAUCAAGACAACUUGGCAAGCCCAGAUGGCCAAGAUGCUCUGUGCAUGGACCAAACUUGGGUUGCCCAAGUAGUCAAGUCCACCCUCGCUGAAUAUCUGGGAUCCAGCCUUGAACCACACAGCCUCACCAAACUUGACACCAUUACGGGCCAAGAGCUCGGGGAAAACACAUCCAAGAGCACCAAGCAUAGCCCAUCUGCAGUGGAUCACCUCGAGUUCACGGUUCUUGGCAAAGGUUUCUGGGUCUGCUGAAAGUCCAGCGGUGUCCCACCCGUAGUCACCGGGAAAUUCACCGGUCAAGUAGCUUGGAGACUCACCUGAGAAUGGACCCAAGUACUUGACACGGUCUGGCCCAUACCAUGGGCUGCCAGAUGAGGCUGGCUUGGAGACAGCCUUUCUCAUAGAGAUCCUUCCAUUUCCAGUGAUUUCUGAGGCAGAGGGUGAGAGUUUCACUGCCUGUCCAGCAAAAGAAGGUGAAGAAAGUGCCAUUGUAGAAGCUGCCAUGGCUUAUCAAGAGAAAAGUAAGUGUUUGAUGGUAUGAAAUAUUGUUGAAGUUGGCUGUGAUGAGGUGAAGUUAAUUACAAGGGGCUUCACCAUAUAUAGGAGGAGUAAGAGCGGUAGAGGCCUUUAUCUAACGAUAUCUACAUCUUUUUCUUUUGGUGUUAACGAUAUCUGUAUCUGUGAUCUCAUUGGGUAAUAAGAUCACAUGUGUAGAAAUUAAUGCACACUUGGCAAUCUCCAGACUCCAAUCCAUCAAUUUUCCAAGAUGUUUACUAAAAGGACCCAUCCAAUAUUGUCCGCCUUAGUGUGGCUACGAGGUUAUUGACUCUAUUCUGUGAUUCGUUGAGCUUACACUAAGAUAUCUCUUAUCGUUAUCUUUUGGGAAUUUCUCCAGAUUUUAUCCACCAGCUGGGAAUAAGUUACCACCACUAUAGCUCAUUCAAUGUAGAAGUAGAAGUUAGAACUAUGGUUUAGCGUUGCACUAAAUAAAUAGUAGAAAAGCUGAAUUUUUCAGAUUAUCAGUAACUAAUGUCUAUCAAAAGAUUAAUUUGAAGUAAUUGCUUAACAAGCAAAAGUGGAUCAGAAUUUGAACUUUCAUGGGUUCUGUAGUCUAGGACGAGUUCUACUAAAUAGAUUCCAAAUUUAACUUUUCUACAUACUCGCUCCGUCCCAUUUUACCCGUCCCAAAUUGGCUAAGUUGAUGUUUCAUUUUAGUUGUCCCAUUUUACUUAUCAAGAUAAGACAAACUUUUCUUUCCAUGUUUUACCCUUUGCAUUAAUUAUCUUUUCUUUAAAUUAAAAUGUAAACAUCAUUUAAUAGGGGUACUUGGGUAAACUAGCCAUGUUAUAUAUUAUUUUUCUUAAUUGUUGUGCCAUCCUAAUUUGGGACAAGUAAAAUGGGACGGAGAGAGUAUUUAAUAAGCUUAUCAAAACAUAUGCAUGGUUUGGGCCAAAGUUAGUUAGUUCUGUCAAACUGGUUUGCUGAAGGCUAUCUGCGCAUGUUAAUAAGUGAUAUGAUUGUGUUAUGUGCAAGUAUUUUUACAAUGUCAAUGCAUAACCUCUCUAUAGUGUCCUGUAUAGCUUGUAUCUUCUGCUUACAAUGUCCUUUUGGCUCUGGUCAUUGUUAUGUGAACGUGUUCUUCUCUAAAGAGAAUACCACAUGCACGUAAGGAUGGAGGACUAUACAAGAAACUCAUGAAUUUGUUCAAAUCUAAGAUGCUGCUUAAAUUAAGGACACAUAAGUAUAAUGGCCUGGAAACUCAUAUAUUACUUGCUACGUUCAAAAUACAAAACAUAUACAUUGGUUUUCCCCUUAUCAUUAAAAUGUCAAUGGUGUACGCAGUAGUGAAAUAAUAUUAUGUCCUCUUAAUUCAUCUCACUUCUCGACAGGAAAAUAAGGAAUCAUGUAAAUAACAUCAUGUUGUACAUUGUUAAUCGUGGCACUAAGAGUAUUGCUUCUUGAGAAUUAAUUGAAUUCCAUAAGUUCCUCUGGUCUGUAUAUUCAAAUUAUAAGCUUUUUGUCAAAAAACAAAGGGAGCGGUAGAGUUAAGCUACAAGGAGAAAAAUAUAAGGAAAUUGCAGCUGUAAAUUGCUACAAAAAAGACUGCAGUAAAGAACAAGAAGCUGAAACUUUUUGAGUGUUUUCUAUUUUUUGGAUAGUUAUAAAUGUCUAAUGUCAUCCCUUAUUUAUACUUAUGUAGGGAUGAUUCUAGAUACUACAAAUCUAGAGUGUUCGUAUACAAAUAUCUCCCUCAAAUAUCUAGCACCCUCUAGAUCUUUCCUAAAUAUAAAUAUCAAAUAUACUACACUAUUCCUUUCUAGAUUCUUCUAACUAGAAUUACCUAAAUAUCUAGAUAUUUCUUUAGCAUGAUCAUCCUAGAAAUUUUACUAGACUAUUCUACAGACUGAACUAGAAAUCUAUGAUUCCAAAAAAUCUACUUUAAUAUUUUCACACUCCCUCUUAAAGUGAUUUUUUUGGAAGCUAUCCUAAACUUGUUGCGGAAGAACUCAAGUGAAGCUUUGAACCGUACUUUAGUGAAAAUCUUGAUAGUUUUUGCAUGACUCCUCUUUCUUCUUCAAAUGAUGAAGAUUUCUCGUUAAUGAUUGGCCCUUGUUGAGUUUUAUCAUAUUGAGUUCUCGAGCUCCCCCUUUCUCUGAACUCCUCCGUAACUUCAUUAUCUGGUGACCCAAAUAUGAUGGAAAAGUUUGAAACUCUAGGAUUGAAGAUUUUAGAACUUACUCUUUCUGAAGCAACUCCAUAACACAAGAAUAAUUUUUUGGUAUCAACCUCCUUAUUUGAUUUGAUGACGAUCUUUUGUUCGGGCCUAUCAACUAGCUCCCAAGUAUUAUUUUUUUAUCAUGGCAAGCUCCUCAUCCAUUGCGGAAAUCCAAGUUUCAUGACUUCUGCUUCUUCAAAAGAAGAUGGUUCCACAAGAGCAAAAUUGCAUUGCUCAUAAACUUCAGGUAGUGACCUGGUCUUCAAAAUAGGAGAAUCUGAAGUUAAUUCAACAUCUGAAUUGUCUUCUUUUUCAAUAAGAGGAUUGGAAGAAAUAUUACACGUCUGUGGAUUUUGAGCUGCAACUGAAGUACACUCAUCUUGGUUCUUUACAACAAUAUCUCGAUCCUAAUCAUAGUGGCUAGACUCAUCCACCGCAAGAUCUCUACUGAUAAGCACCUUUUACGCACGAACAUUAUACACUUUCUACCCUUUUGCAGCUGUGUUAUAGCCCAACAAAAUACAAAGUCCUGCCUUGUUAUCCAAUUUACCUCUUUUAGCAUCAGGAACAUAUGCAUAACAGACUGAACCAAAAACUUUUAAGUGUCUCACAGAUGACUUUAUACCUUUCCAUGCUUUAAAUGGUGUCAUGUCUUGGAGUGCUCUAGUUGGUAAUAUGUUUAGUAAAUAGACUGCAGUACUGACUGCCUCAGCCCAAAAACAUUUGGGUAUCUUCUUUUCUGCUAGCAUACAUCUCACCAUCUCCAUCACGGUUCUGUUCUUUCUCUCAGAAAUACUGUUUUGUUCUGGAGUGUAGCUCACAGUAAAUUGUUGUUGAAUGCCCACAUCUUUACAAUACUUGUUGAACUAAUGCGGAGUAUAUUCAGUUUCAUUAUCUGACCUGAUAUACUUCAAUCGGCAACCACUCUUCCUUUCUACCAUAGCCUUGAAUUCUUUGAAAACAGAAAACACCUGAACUUUGUUACUUAAAAAUAGACCUAUGUCAUUCGAGUUAGAUCAUUUAUAAAGAGAAUAAAAUAUUUAUUCCCACUCAAAGAAGUUGUCCUCAUUGGUCUACAUAUAUUUGUAUGAACCAACUCUAGUUUUUCCUUCGUCCUCCAAAGACUUCUUUUAGGAAAGAAUUAUUUAUGCAAUUUACCAAAUUGACAUGACUCACAAACAUCUCGGCACAUGUCAAUUUUGGGUACAUCAAGCACCAUACCCUUGGAUUGCAUAUACACCAAUGAACUAAGAUUGUAAUGACCGAAUCUUUUGUGCCAAAGCCAAAUAUCAAUUAUUUCAACAUUGAAAGAGCAACUUUCAACAGAAUAGCAUGAAAUUGGAAAGGAAUUACCAAUCAUGCUAAUUUUAGCUACUUCACAACCUUUAGGAUCAUAAAUGACACAUUUUUUAUCCUUAAAAAUAAGUGAAUAAUUAUUGUGAAGUAACUGAGCAACACUCAACAAGUUUUGAGUCAAGCUUGGCACAUAAAAAACAUCGUUUAUGAUUUUCAUACCUUCGUCCGUAGGAAAUUUCACUGAUCCUCUUCCUUGAGCUUGCACCAGUGCACCAUCUCCUAGCUUCACUUUGAUCCUAUCAGACCUGUCCAGGCUAACAAAUAGAUUUUCAACAAUCGUCAUGUGCCUUGUGCACGCACUAUCGACAUGCCAAUUAUAUCGAUCGACAUGUGAUAUGUGUGAAGCCAUGAAUACCUCUUCCUCUAUUUUUUGAACUUGGUGAUCUUCCGCAAAAUUUACUCAUUGAAAAGACUGACCAAUUUGAGUUUGCUUUUGCCUGCAAUGCUUCUCAAUGUGCCUAUACUUCUUGCAGUAUCUGCAUUGAAUAGGAGACCUCUUGGACUUCUGCCAACAAUUUUUCUAUAAGUGGUUUGUCUUCUUACAAAUACCACAAGGUGGAAAUUUUUCUCUCCUCAACGAUUCACCUUGGUAUCCACCAGAUUUCACCUCUCCAGAGUGGUCUAAAAAGACUUUUUUGCCUUCUUUUUGUUGCUUGAAAGGCAUAUUCGACUGUUCCUUCGAUUCUCAUAGUUACCCAUUGCUCUUGGAUUUGCAAUUUAGAGAUCAACUCAGCUAUUGAAAGAAUAGUCAAGUCACAGGACUCUUUAAUAGCUGAGAAUUUGUAUUUAAACUUGUCUGGAAAGCUGACCAUAAUCCCCUUUAUAACCUUCUAAUCUAAAAAGUUUUCACCAAGUAUCCUUAUGUGGUUCACAAUAUCCAUUAGCUUAGAAGAGUAUUCUUUUACACUAUCCGGAUCCUUCAUCUUCAAGAGCUCAAACUCCCUCUUCAAAGCUAAAACCUUAACAGACUUAACUCUGUUGCUGCCUUCAAACUCCUUCUUUAGCUUAUCUCAGGCUUCUUUAGCUGUCUCACAAGCCAUAAUCCUUGUAAAUAUCACUUCCGUAAGGGUUGAAUGUAUGCAAGUGAGUGCUCUUGGAGAUCUAGUCACCAAUUCAUCAUACUUUUUGAUAUCAUUUAGAGUUGAGUUGUCUCUCAAUGGCUGGACAGCAGGUUCUCCUCUCUAAACAAUAUCCCACAAGUUGAGAGUCUUCAAAUAAGCCUUCAUUUUAAUGGUCCAAAUAUGAUAAUUCUCCCCCGAAAAAAUCGAAGGACCCAUUGUUGGUUGAUUUUCUGGUGCCAUGUUUUUUCAGUAAAUAGAUUCAAGAAAGGAGCUAAAAAUAAGAUGAGUCAAUCAACAAAAAACAUAUUCAGAUCCCGUAAGAAAUGGGCUCUGAUACCAUGUCAAAAAAUAAAGGAAACGGGGAGAGUAAAGCUACAAGGAGAAAAAUAUAAGGAAAUUGCAACUGCAAAUUGCUACAAAAAAGACUGCAGUGAAGAAGGAGAAGCUGAAACUUUUUUAGUGUUUUCUAUUUUCUAGAUAGUUAUAAAUGUCGAAUGUAAACCCUUAUUUAUUCUUAUGUAGGGACGAUUCUAGAUACUACUCCCUCCAUCCCAUUUUACCCGUCCCAAAUUGGGAUGGCACAGCUAUUAAGAAAACAAUGAUUGGUAAUGUUACUUUACCAUUUUUUCUCUCUUAAUUGUGUCUUGUUGUUAGUUCCAAUAUUGAUGGAUGACCAAUACAAAAGCACCAUUUAUAUUCUUAAUGGUGUACUCCUAAUGGUACUCUUCUUUGCAACGUUUUUCAAAAAUGUUAAUAACAAGGAGUAAGCAAUUACACUGAGGAUAAAAUGAAAAAAAAAGUUGUCUUAUCUUGAUAAGUAAAAAAGGACAACUAAAAUGGGACAUCAAAUUAGAAAAUUUGGGACGGGUAAAAUGGGACAGGGAGUACAAAUCUAGAGUGUUCUUAUACAAAUAUCUUCCUCAAAUAUCUAGCCCCCUCUAGAUUUUUCCUAAAUAUAAAUAUCAAAUAGACUACACUCUUCCUUUCUAGAUUCUUCUAACUAGAAUUACCUAAAUAUCUAGAUAUUUCUUCAACAUGAUUAUCCUACAAAUUUCACUAGACUAUUCUAGAGACUUAACUAGAAAUCUAUGAUUCCAAAAAAUCUACUUUAAUACCAUCACACUUUUACCACAUCCAAAAUGUAUCUUGGGUUUUUUUUUUUUUUGGCUUUGUCAUCGAUUUUUCUCCCCUUGAUAUGAAACUGGCAGUAUUUAUUCAUGCCAUUGGAAAAUGAAAUUCAGGACUACACAAUAACUGGAAUAUAAGAAAAAUCCAUUCUAUUGUCAAGUAAACUCACAACUACAACUUUACAAGGGCAUCAAACAAUGAAAUUUUAAGAUUGUUUUACGAUAUUCAUUUUCCGGGGACAAAGUUUGUGGCGUAGGCCCAUGCGUUGUUGUUAACUGGAUCUGCAAGGUGGUCAGCGAGGUUCUCCAAUGGACCCUUUCCGGUAACAAUGGCCUGAACAAAGAAUCCAAACAUAGAGAACAUAGCAAGUCUACCGUUCUUGAUCUCCUUUACCUUGAGCUCAGCAAAUGCCUCUGGAUCAUCAGCAAGACCUAAUGG